GAACCAGUCAAGAUAUAAUAUAGUGGUCAUAUCGUUGUAGCAACUGAAAUUUGCAUAACAUAAAAACCCAAUCUGAUUGUAGGUUGUGAAGUUCGAAGUUGUGAAAGAAAAUCGAAAAGCAUGCGGAUAAAUGGAAGGAUGAGAGAAAGAGAGAAAGAAAAUAUCAAUGAUAUAAGAUUCCAAUAUGUAAGGUCUGUAAGUCAUCUCAUAAAAAACAGUGUAAUAUAGCAUCAAUACUGAUUCAUCCCUAACUAGAUGAAUCCGCUCAUGGAACAAAAAAAAUCAAGAGCCCCGAGCCAAUAAAAACUGAGAAAAUUGACUUAAGAAAAAAUUUCAUUAAGGGCUCCGUUGGAGAAUUCAGACCUAACCAUUAAUCGAGAAGCAAUGGGAACGACGGAACCCGUGAAUAAAGAAAAAGAAGAUUCUAUUGGAAAUGAAUCUUAAUGAUUUAUUGGGUGGGAUGGCGAAACGAACCCAGGAACUAAACUAUUCUUUUAUUCGUAGAGGUCAUGAACUAACCCUACAACUGAAAUAGAUAUUGAAAGAGUAAAUAUUCGCCCGCGAAAGGUUUAUUUUUUGAUUUUAUUGGAUUGAUUCAUUUUGAUCGAUCCGAUAUGGUAAAGGGCAAAACAAAAUAAAGAUUUGUUAUAACGAUAAAAAAAAAAAGACAUUGAGAUUAUCUAUAAAUAGAACAUAAAUGUUUCAAUUCUAUAUCUAAACAUGAUAUACAAAUUUAGAAUAGAUUAAUUAGAUGAACUUUCAAAAAAUCCUAUGCUUCAGUAUAUUAUUCAUUAAAUUCCCCUAUAUCUUGAUAAAAUCGUUUUUAGUCCUUUCAUUCGCGAGGAGCUGGAUGAGAAGAAACUCUCAUGUCCAGUUCUGUAGUAGAGAUGGCAUUGAGAAAGAACCAUCAAUUAUAACCCCAAAAGAACAAGAUUCCGUAAACAACAUAGAGGAAGAAUGAAAGGGAUAUCUUAUCGAGGUAAUCAUAUUUGUUUCGGCAGAUAUGCUCUUCAAGCACUUGAACCCGCUUGGAUCACAUCUAGACAAAUCGAAGCGGGGCGCCGCGCAAUGACACGAAAUGUACGGCGCGGUGGAAAAAUAUGGGUACGUAUCUUUCCAGACAAACCAGUUACACUAAGACCCACGGAAACCCGUAUGGGGUCCGGUAAAGGAUCCCCCGAAUAUUGGGUAGCCGUCGUUAAACCGGGUAGAAUACUUUAUGAAAUGAGUGGAGUAGCUGAAAUAUAGCUCGAAAGGCUAUUUCAAUAGCGGCGUCCAAAAUGCCUAUAAGAACUCAAUUCAUUAUUUCGGGAUAGGAAUGUCGAAACAAAGGAAAUAAAUCUUGGGUAUAAAAAAUGCGGGUCUUUUUUUUUUUUUUUUUCUUUUUUUUUUUACUUUUUACUUCGUCCUUUCAGUGCUUUACUUUAAAUUAAACAUUAAAAAAACGGACUCAAAAAACGAUAUGAUUCAACCUCAAACCCAUUUGAAUGUAGCAGACAAUAGCGGUGCCCGAGAAUUGAUGUGUAUUCGAAUCAUAGGAGCCAGUAAUCGUAGAUAUGCUCAUAUUGGUGACGUUAUUGUUGCUGUGAUCAAGGAAGCAGUACCCAAUACGCCUCUAGAAAGAUCAGAAGUGAUCAGAGCUGUAUUGUACGUACUUGUAAAGAACUCAGACGUGAUAACGGUAUGAUAAUACGGUACGAUGACAAUGCUGCAGUUGUCAUUGAUCACGAAGGAAAUCCAAAGGGAACUCGAGUUUUUGGUGCGAUCGCCCGGGAAUUGAGACAGUUGAAUUUUACUAAAAUAGUUUCAUUAGCACCUGAAGUAUUAUAAGAGGGGACCGCGAUAUAGUGAUAGUAUGAAAGAAAAUAAAAUAGAUAAAUCAAAAUUUAGUAGAGUAUGUCUCACGCAUAUACUUUUAAUAAUUUUCAUAAAAAAAAGAACAUGUUGAUUAUAUCAAAAUUUGGAAGCAACAAAAUUUUCAGUUUAUCAUGGGCAAGGACACUAUUGCUGACAUAAUAACUUCUAUACGAAAUGCUGACAUGAAUAGAAAGGGAACGGUUCGAAUAGCAUCUACUAACAUCACCGAAAACGUUGUUAAAAUCCUUUUGCGAGAGGGUUUUAUCGAAAACGCAAGGAAACUCGUGGAAAACAAAAAAGAGUUUUUGGUUUUAACCCUACGACAUCGAAGGAAUAGGAAAGGGCCGUAUAGACCCAUUUUAAAUUUAAAACGAAUCAGUCGACCCGGUCUACGAAUCUAUUUUAACUAUCGACGAAUUCCUAGAAUUUUAGAUGGGAUGGGGAUUGUAAUUCUCUCUACUUCUCGGGGUAUAAUGACAGACCGAGCGGCUCGACUGGAAAGAAUCGGUGGAGAAAUUUUGUGUUAUAUAUGGUAAUUAUUCUGCUAUCCGAAUUGUAUUUGGAGCUUACUUUUAUGUUGUGAGAAAAAAAAAAAGGGGAGGAUUCCUCGAGGUUUAAUUACCGAAUAACUUACCAAAGGUAUGCUCCGGGUUCUUUUAGAUAGUUUAGAGAGCGAAGUAAGAUUCUAGAUUAUGUUUCAGGAGGGAUGCGACCCGUUUUUCUACAUCUACUCCCGGUGGCUAGAGGCAAAAUUGAAGGAAGUCGUUAUGAUUCAGAUUCAACUGGAGGAUAUAAUAAUAAUAUAUAGACUACACAAAAGGAUUUGAGUGAUUAGGUGAUUUUUCAACAUUCCUUUCAGGGGGAUACAAAUCGCGGUUCAAAAAUUUCAAGAAACUUAUUUUCUUCCAACUUCCAAUAAGUAGAUUCGAAAUUCAUUUAAGGAAUAACAAUUAUGAAAAUAAGGGCUUCAGUUCGUAAAAUUUGUGAAAAAUGUCGACUGAUCCGCAGGAGGGGACGGAUUAUAGUAAUUUGUUCCAACCCGAGACAUAAACAAAGACAAGGAUAAUCUUUCGAAAAGUUUAGAAAGUAACCGAUGAACAAAUCAACAUAAAAGAUCGGUUUUGACAUGAAAUGGAUAUAUCCAUAUAUCUCUGACUUAUAUUUAUGAAAUGAUCAAAUAUGGCAAAAUCUCCACCACGAAGUGGUUCACGUAGGCCGGGACGGAUCGGUUCACGUAAAAGUGGACGUCGAAUACCAAAGGGCGUUAUUCAUGUUCAGCAAGUUUCAACAACACCAUUGUGACUGUUACAGAUGUCCGGGGUCGGGUAAUUUCUUGGUCCUCGGCCGGUACUUGUGGAUUCAGGGGUACAAGAAGAGGUACGCCUUUUGCUGCUCAAACCGCAGCAGGAAAUGCUAUUCGAGCAGUAGCGGAUCAAGGUAUGCAACGAGCAGAAGUCAUGAUAAAGGGUCCUGGUCUCGGAAGAGAUGCGGCAUUACGAGCUAUUCGUAGAAGCGGUAUCCUUUUAAAUUUCGUACGGGAUGUAACCCCUAUGCCACACAAUGGUUGCAGACCCCCUAAAAAAAGACGGGUGUAGAAAUAAACAUUGAAGAGAUUUCAAGAGAAAUAAAUGACUCAAUGAUCUGACAAAUAAUAUUACUAUGGUUCGAGAGAAAGUAAAAGUAUCUACUCGGACACUGCAGUGGAAGUGUGUGAAUCAAGAGCAGACAGUAAGCGUCUUUAUUAUGGGCGCUUUAUUUUGUCUCCACUUAUGAAAGGUCAAGCCGACACAAUAGGCAUUGCGAUGCGAAGAGUUUUGCUUGGAGAAAUAGAAGGAACAUGUAUUACACGCGCAAAAUCUGAGAAAAUCCCACACGAAUAUUCUACCAUAGUGGGUAUUCAAGAAUCGGUACAUGAAAUUUUAAUGAAUUUGAAAGAUAUUGUAUUGAGAAGUAAUCUUUAUGGAACUUGUGACGCGCUUAUUUGUGUCAAAGGCCCGGGAUAUGUAAAUCCUCUUGCCGCCUUCUGUGGAAAUCGUUGAUAAUACGCAGCACAUAGCACAUAGCUAGCCUAAUUGAUUUGUCUAUUGGAUUACAAAUCGAGAGGAGUCGAGGAUAUAAUAUAAAAACGCCAAAUACCUUUCAAGACGGAAAUUGUUAUCCUAUCGAUGCUGUAUUCAUGCCUGUUCGAAAUGCGAAUCAUAGUAUUCAGUCUUAUGGGAAUGGCAAUGAAAAACAAGAGAUCCUUUUUCUAGAAAUAUGGACAAACGGAAGUUUAACUCCUAAAGAAGCACUUCGUGAAGCCUCCCGGAGUUUGAUUGAUUUAUUUAUUCCCUUUCUCCAGGCAGAAGACGAAAACUUACCUUUAGAGAACAAUCAAUACAAGGUUACUUUACCCUUUUUUACUUUUCAUGAUAGAUUGGCUAAACUAACGAAAAAGAAAAAAGAAAUCGCAUUGAAAUCGAUUUUUAUUGACCAAUCAGAAAUGUCUCCCAGGAUCUAUAAUUGUCUCAAAAGUCCAAUAUACAUACAUUAUUCGACCUUUUGAAUACGCGUCAAGAAGACCUUAUGAAAAUUGAACACUUUCGCAUAGAGGAUGUAAAGCAGAUAAUGAGUAUUCUAGAAAAGAAAUAGAAAAGCAUUUCACAAUUGAUUUACCGAAAAAAAAAAAAUUUAAAUCAAUUGAAUUUAGUGCAAUUUUUCUAUUCUUUAGAAAAAAAAAAAAAAAAAACGCGAAAAUUGAAAUGGCUUUGCACCUUUAGACCCGUCUAUAUAUUCAGACCGGAAUUAAAUUGAAUAGAAGUAUCUAGGGAGAAUUCACUUUGACUUUGAAGUGACUACUCCCUAGAUACACACGUCAUGAUAUUUUACAAUUGAAUCAAUUUAAAAAAGACCUAAAGUUAGGGAUUUUUCAAUAGGUAAUGUUGCUCCAAUACCCAAGCACAAGGCCACUGCGGUACCAAUCAAAAAGACGGUUGUCGCUACGGGACGGCGAAAUGGAUUUUGGAAUUUAUUAACAUUUUCCAAAAAGGUACUGUUAAUAAUCCCGUAGGUACUGAAACCAUUAAAAGAACACCCAACAGCUUAUUGGGUACUGUACGAAGUAUUUGAAUACGGGAAAGAAAUACCAUUCGGGUAAGAUUUCCAAAGGAGUUGCAAAUGGAUCCGCGGGUUCACCAAUCAUUGAUGGUUCUAGAACCGCUAAGCCUACGGUACAUGCAAUAGUACCUAGAAUUACUACUGGAAAAAUAUAUAAAAGAUCGUUGGGCCAUGCGGGUUCUCCAUAAUAAUUAUGACCCAUACCCUUAGCCAACUUAGCCCUUAAUACAGGAUCAUUCAAGUCAGGUUUUUUUGUUAUUGGGAUAGGCGAAUUCUUAUAGAUCCAUCCCCCCAAAGAACCGGACAUGAUAAUUUUUCAUCAUCCGGCUCGAGCAAGAAUCAACCAAACUAAAAGGAUACAUAUAAAAAAAGAAAUAGAUAAAAAAAGAAAUAUAGAUUUUCGAAAAUCUAUAUUUUACGCAUAUCGGGAUGAUUCUAUAUGUAAAAUUACCGGAUUCCGUUUUACGAAGUUGCAACUAUCAAUUGCAAGGAAUUCGGUUCUUACAGGUGUAUGCUCCAUACCCAAGUAGGCUUACAAAAUUGAUCAUGAUCAAGAGCUUUCUGGGUCGUCUCAGCCCUUGUGAUUCACCCUUAUCCAAAAACAACAAAAAAAAAAUUGAGCUGAUAUUUUUCUUUUUCGCGUACAAAGGAUUUACUUGUUACUAAUAUAGUAUAGCCGCUGCUCUUCUUUAGACCCCUUGUUUCACUCCGAUAGUAUCAUAAAUCGGGAUCGGUGCAGAAGAAAUGAAUGCAUUUCCAUACUAUUAAGUAAGUAAUCUAGAAUCUAGCUAAACAUAAUCUAGAUUAUGCCACAUCGCUUAUUCUACUGGAUCUUACGGAGCCUGCUCAUGCGCGGCAUGCUUGGGGCUGAUCAUAGAAAAGAUUCUUUUCAAUCGAACCAACCUAUCCUCUCUAUGGGGUGCCGGUUGGAACAAAGACACAUUUGGUCGCGAAUUCCAAUGUAGCAGAUUAAAGACAUAUUUCUGCACGGCCCAAUCAAUAGUUCAAGUCACACACUCCCAUAAUCCAUUUUCUCUUCGGAGAAUUCCCGUCAACUAUUCAUUUCAUUCAUGUCAAAUAAAAAGUCCAAUAUUAUGGAGUUGAGGGGAAAUUUCCAACUCCAUGUCUUAUUCUUUGUCAAUAAUCCAUAUUGUAGCAAUGAAAUAUUAUUGUUCCUCCCCCAAGCAAUAAGAUAAAGGGUUGAUUACAAAUCGCUAUAAUCUAGAUUUUGUAUAAUUUUAUAAAGGGCCAGAAAUACCUUGUUUACGUAUCAUUAGGAAAUGCAUUAACAUAAAUACGGCAGUAAGAAGAGGUAAUACAAAAGUGUGUAAACUAUAAAAACGAGUCAAAGUGGACUGUCCCACACUAGCACUUCCGCGUAAUAACUCUACCAAAGGCGAUCCUAUUACCGGAAUUGCUUCGGGCACGCCUGUUACAAUUUUUACUGCCCAAUAUCCAAUUUGGUCCCAAGGUAAAGAAUAACCUGUUACACCAAAAGAUGCGGUCAAUACAGCCAGAACCACACCUGUAACCCAAGUCAAUUCGCGGGGUUUUUUAAACCCCCGGUGAGAUACACGCGAAAUACGUGCAGGAUUGUCAUUAGGACCAUCAUACUUGCCGACCAUCGAUGAACCGAUCGAAUUAACCACCCGAAGUUAACUUCCGUCAUUAUGUAUUGAACAGAGGCAAAAGCCUCAGUAACGGUCGGGCGGUAGUAAAAAGUCAUAGCAACCCUGUAGCUACUUGUACUAAAAAACAAGUGAGCGUAAUUCCUCCCAGACAAUAAAAUAUGUUGACAUGAGGAGGAACGUAUUUACUAGUUAUAUCAUCUGCAUCGCCUGAAUCUCGAGACGUUCUUCGAACCAAUCGUAGACUUUAUUGAGAUAGGUAAACCAAGAGAACUCCCCUCUGAGAACCGUAUAUGAGAAUUUUAUCUCGUACGGCUCAACAAAACCACCCCAAUACUGGUAUGGAAUAUAAAAUUGGAAACUUCUUAAUUUUUUGAUUCAAUCUUAUCUAAAAAUACGAAAGAAUCAAAAUAAGAAAGCUUUUCUUGUGGUUAUAAUUAGAAUGCCAAAAAAUCAAGUCGACGCGCUUAUCUUUAUGUUGAUCGUUACAGGCCUCUUGAAUCUUCUAUUUACCUAUUUCAUUUUCUUUGAUUUGUUAUUUUGAGUUGUAUGUAAUGCAGCUUGACUUUUGUUUCUUUAUUAUUGAUAGGAAUUUUCUUGUUAAGACCCUAUGAAUCAAUUGAAACCUCAGAUUCAUACUAGAACCACGAUGAUUCAAUAAAACCUUCAAACUAAGUCCAAAGAUUCCAUGAGUAAGAAUCCUUGGAUCAUCAUUUAUUCAAGUUUGUGCUUGAGUAAAAUAAAAGCAGAAAUGGGGAAUUGAAAGAAGAAAAAUCUUGCAAUUGCAAAUUUUGUCUUUGGAAAAUUUUUUGAAUCCGGCCAAGGGGUCUGAAUAUUAAGUAUGAAUCAUAGUUCGAAUACUUCGUGAUCUAUUUCAUAUAUUCCGUGCUCCAGAUACUCGAAUGAAUAUCCGACGGAGUAAAGCCAUCUCGAUCAGACGACAGAUCUAUGCUCUGUACUAUCAAUAGGAUCAAUUCGAACAAGUCGCACACUCAUAUUCCGGAAAUACAGAAAUAAAAAAUUCGCGGUCGAACUACCAAUCAACUAAAAUCAAAAUCCGAUACCUAAAUGCUUAUUAAAAGGUAGUAUUUUGUGAUUCUGUAAAUUUCAUUCUAAUUCAGUGAAAUUCCGUCCAGUAAAACGGACGAAUUAUAAAUCUCCAAAAUAAUAGAUAGGAAUACCGCAAAUAAAGCCAUUGCGACUCCCAUCAAAGGAGUAGUUCCCCAUCCAGGAGCUACUUUACCAUAUUCCGAAUUCAAGGGUUUCAACAAGCCCCCUGCAGAAGUUCUUUUGGACGAGCUCUAGAACUACCCUCAACUGUUUGUGUAGCCAUAAAUCCUAUUUUGUAUUGAUUGAGAUCUGUUGACUUUGUAUACCAUUCCGUGUAAAUAAACGAUCUUAUCAUGGAUCCAGUGUGGUCUUGAAAUUCUAUAAUAAUGGAAACAGCAACCCUAGUCGCCAUCUCUAUAUCUGGGUUACUUGUAAGUUUUACUGGGUACGCCUUAUAUACUGCUUUUGGGCAACCCUCUCAACAACUAAGAGAUCCAUUCGAGGAACACGGGGACUAGUUGAAGUAGAAGUAACGGGCCUCCCGAUAUUGGGAGGCCCAUUACUUCAUUGAGAUAAAAAAAAAAUCAUUUUGUUUUUUUAGUUGGAACUUUAGGCGGUUCUCGAAAAAAGAUAGCGAAAAAAAUGAUCCCUAGAGUCGAGACUAAGAGGAAUGUAUAAACCAAUGCUUCCAUAAAUUCGAUCGUGGUUUCCAAUUAUAGCUUCCAUACCUGUUUAUUGGGAUCAUCCCCCGGAUUAAAGAAAAAAAGAAUCAAAAAGGGCGGCGAUUUAAAUCCAUAUUUCUCCAGUACCUUAUACCUUAUUUUAAAUAAAAAGCACAAAUCGAAAAUAGAAGCAGAAGCGAGAAACUAAAAUAGUAGAGCAAUGCUGCAUCAGACUACUUGUCUUCUUGUAGUUGGAUCUCCAAGUUUUUGGAAUACUCCAAAUUCCACUUGAGCGUCCAAAUCCGGGUCAAUACCAGCAAAAACAUCUCUGAACAAGGUUCUAGCACCAUGCCAAAUGUGUCCGAAGAAGAAAAGCAGAGCAAAUGAAGCGUGUCCAAACGUAAACCAGCCCCUUGGGCUGCUACGAAAAACACCAUCGGAUUCAAAGUAGCACGAUCUAAUUCAAAAAUUUCACCCAAUUGAGCACGUCUAGCAUAUUUUUCACAGUAGCAGGAUCACUAUAACUCACGCCAUUCAGCUCGCCACCAUAGAACUCAACGGUUACACCUACUUGUUCGACACUAUACUUCGAUUCUGCCCUUCGAAAAGGAACGUCGGCUCUAACAAUUCCAUCUCCGUCUACCAAAACAACUGGAAAUGUUCAAAAAAAGUAGGCAUACGACGUACAAAAAGUUCACGCCCUUCUUUAUCUCUAAAUAUAGGGUGUCCUAACCACCCGACAGCUAUUCCAUCCCCGUUAUCCAUGAACCCGCUCUGAAUAAUCCCCCUUUCGCAGGAUUAUUCCGAUGUAAUCAUAAAAAGCUAAUUUUUCAGGAAUUUUAGACCAAGCUUCUGAUAAACUUUGAUUUCGGCUAGUCCAGCACUGACUCUUCGAUAUAUUUCUUGCUGAAGUAUCCCUGAUCCCAUUGAUAACGGGUGGGACCAAAUAAUUCGAUGGGGGUAGUUGCUGACCCAUACCACAUAGUUCCAGCAACAACAAACGCUGCAAAAAAGACAGCAGCGAUGCUGCUGGAAAGAACGGUUUCAAUAUUGCCCAUACGUAAUCCUUUGUAUAAGCGUUGUGGCGGGCGGACGCUGAGAUGGAAUAAGCCUGCUAAUAUGCCCAAUGUCCCUGCCGCAAUAUGAUGAGAGGCUAUCCUCCUGGAACAAAAGGAUCAAAACCUUCCACACCCCAUGCUGGAUUUAUAGAUUGUACCUUUCCAGUUAGUCCAUACGGAUCAGACACCCAUAUUCCAGGACCAUACAAUCCUGUUACAUGAAAUGUCCCAAAACCAAAGCAAGCCACUCCUGAGAGAAAUAAAUGAAUUCCAAAGAUUUUAGGCAAAUCCAAAGAACGUUUCCUGUACGGUCAUCAACAAAUAUUGCUAGAUCCCAAUACACCCAAUGCCAGAUAGCUGCCAAGAAGCACAAUCCGGAAAACACAAUAUGUGCCCCCGCUACACCUUCGUAACUCCAAAUACCCGGAUUCGUUACUGUCCCCCCUGUAAUACUCCAACCACCCCAUGAAUCGGUUAUUCCUAAACGAGUCAUGAAGGGUAUAACGAACAUGCCUUGUCUCCACAUUGGAUCAAGAACUGGAUCGGAGGGAUCAAAAACAGCUAAUUCAUAUAGAGCCAUUGAACCGGCCCAACCCGCAACCAGGGCUGUAUGCAUUAUAUGGACAGCAAUCAAACGACCGGGAUCAUUCAAUACGACGGUAUGAACACGAUACCAAGGCAAACCCAUGGGACUACCCCUUUAUUAAUAAAAAAUAGACACUAUGUAACUUUAUUGCAUUGAAAAAAACUAUGCUAUGUACCCCUUUUUUCAGGGGAUUAUCUCGAAAAAGGGAUUAAUAUUAAUAUUUGUUCUAUUCUUUUAGUAAUAAUGGAAGAGUUCGGUUCGUAGGAAAAAAGAGAAGCAGAUCUAUUCUAUACUCGAUAAGUACCAAUACGCAAUGGGGGUUGAUUCCCUUUUCUAUGAGCGAAUGUAUCCAUAUUUGGUCAUCAUUCAAAAGACUUAUUCGUAAGAAUUUUCCUUUAUUUUAUGAACUUCGUCAAUCUAUGUAUAAACUAAGAUAACGGCCACUAGUAUUAAGACAAGAAGCCCAUUAUUACGCUUCCACAUCAAAGUGAACUAGAGUACUUAAUUCUUUUUUCUUUCAUUUUAUGCCUAUUGGUGUUCCAAAAGUACCUUAUCGAAGUCCCGGGGACAAGCAUCCAUCUUGGGUUGACAUAUAGUGCGACUUGUCAGAUCUAUUGGGUCAUAUGGGAUUUCCCCGUUCUCUCCCCCGAUCGAGAUAUCCUCUGUUUCGCCCAUAAAAUUGAUUGAAUUAUCAAAAAUUUGUAGCGUGAAAUGCAAUGAAGUGCAAUUAGAUCUAUUUCGUGAGGAAGCAUCCAGAUUAAUAUUAGCAAGAAAUCAAUUUUAUGGUCGUCUUGGCUGGACCAAUAAAAUGAGGUAUCCAGGCUCCGUUUAGAAAACCCAAUUGGUAAUAUAUCUAUGAUUAUUACUUAUAUCAUAAACGAUUCCUUUAUUCGAAAAGCGAUCUCAAACGUUAAUCAACGGAAUGCUAAAUAUGAUGAAUAUGUCAAAUAUUUGGCGGAAGACAUGAAAGAAAUGAAUUAAAAAAGGGGUAAGUCAUAGCAAAAAAGAGACGUGGUAUUGGGGGCAUUUGUCCUAUAUGUGCAAAUCAAAAUCGGGCGAAUCCUUACUCGGAGUAGAGCCUAAACCUAAAAAAAUGGAAGAAGCCCAUUCAAUUCAGGAACAAGAAAAUGGCAUCGUGAUUUUUGGAUCGGAUCUCGAUGAAAAAUACAUCAAUGAAAAGUUAGUUCGAUAAGUUUAGUGAAUUCUUUUUUAUAUUAGAAUAUUAUAGGUCUAGGAAACCGGCUAAACUCAGCGUUCUUGAAAACCGGAAGAAAAGCCCCUCGAUAGAAGCGAGGAAAAAAGAAAGGAAAGGGGCUAGGAGCUACACAUUGAUUCGUUUUUCGCAAGUUUUGUUGAACCGUAUGCAUCAAAGAUGCCUGUACGGCUCCGAAGGGAUACUGUUUUAUCCUAAUCAACCGACUUUAUCGAGAAAGAUUACUUUUUUAGGUCAAUGGUUGAGAGCGAUAUCUCGAAUCAACUUAUUGGUAUUAUGGUAUAUCUCAGUAUAGAGAACGAGACCAAGGAUUUGUAUUUAUUUAUCAACUCUCCUGGCGGAUGGGUAAUACCCGGGAUAGCAAUUUAUGAUACUAUGCAAUUUGUGCGACCCGAUGUACAGACAUAUGCAUGGGAUUGGCCGCCUCCAUGGGGUCUUUUCUCCUGGCCGCCGGAGCAAGUACCAAACGUCUAGCAUUCCCUCACGCUUGGCGCCAAUGAGUUUUUUAUUUGAGAGAAAAAAGAAGACUAUGCCUUCGCCAUAUGAAUUCUUAAUAUUAAGUAAUAAUAGCAUGGCACUUCGAAUUCGAUAUGAAAAUUGUUAGUGUUUUUUUUUCAAAAUAUUUGAUUAUGUAUCGAAGCAGUAGUAUGAGAUAAAGAAGGGGUAUUCCGAGUUUAUCUUACCUAUCGGAGGCCUAUUGCAGCGCCACACACCUUUUUCACACCGGAAGGUUCUUAACAAUUAACAAUUCACAAGAUUUAUGGUAUGAAAGAGUACGAAAAUAAAAAAAAGAAGAUUAUUUUUGAUUUAUUUCUUUUUUUAUUUUGAUUGAAAAAAAAAAAAGAAACUUUGGGAUUGCUGAAUCACAAAAGAAAUAAAUAUAUAAAGCAACGGAGCCAUCAUAGUAUUUUUGAACUCCUCAAAAAAAAAGAAGGGUGGUAAUUGGGUCAUUUACCCAUCUGGGUAUAAUAGAACCCCCUUUUUAUCCUUGUUGAUGAAGGGUAAAAAGCAAAUUCCAUUGGCGAGCCAUAUGGGUGUUUCCGUAUUUCGGUGUUUGUUUUGUUUUUAUUCAAAAACAAAAAAGGCAGCUCAUAAUGAGCGAGAUAGAGGAACCUUUUAUUAUGUUAUAAUAUAUCAUCAGGGUCAUGAUCCAUCAACCUAUUGGCGCUUUUAUGGGGCACAAACGGGAGAAUUUAUCCUGGAUACGGAAGAACUACUGAGACUGCGCGAAAUCCUUACAAUGGUUUAUGUACAAAGAUCGGGCAAGCCCUUAUGGGUUGUAUCCGAAGACAUGGAAAGGGAUACUUUUAUGUCAGCAACAGAAGCCCAAGCUCAUGGCCUUGUUGAUCUUGUAGCGGUUGGAUAAAACAUAGCAGUCACUUCUUAAGGGUUUAAUAUUCUAUUAAACAGAAGAAAUUCAUAAUCAUCCGGUUAGGAUCGAUCUAAACCAGCCCAUAAUGGAUAAUUCAGCAUGCCAACUAUUAAACAACUUAUUAGAAACCCAAGACAGCCAAUCAGAAAUGUUACCAAAUCCCCCGCUCUGCGGGGAUGUCCUCAGCGCCGAGGAACAUGUACAAGGGUGUAUGUGCGACUCGUUUCAAUCAUGGGCUGAGACAAACCAAAAGAAAGAAACCCUUUUUUAAGUAUCAAUGAUCAGUACCUGUGAAUCGGAUAGAAUAGAAGAAGAAGAACUCCAUUCACUAUCUAAAAAAAGAUCGAUCUAUCAUAUCUUUCUAUUGUGUAUGAAAUUUAUGGUUUCCACUGGCGCAAUUCCACCACCUCAAUUUGCAAUUAAUUUAAGGUGAGAAAGAAUUCCCCAUUGGUAACAAAUAGUUAUCCAUUAAGCGGGGGAAAUACUAUAAAAAAGCAGAAAGAUUAUCUUUCUACUCUGCAAGAACGGACUAACAAGGUCAGCUACCCCACCAAUCUUCAUAAUUAAAUACCGUUACUGUAUAAGGUCUAUCUCGUUAUGAAAGACCUAUUACUAUAAAAUUCAUGGGUAGAGCCGAAGAGUGGUAACUGUACAAGUUACCAAUAGAAUUGAUUAAAUGAAGGAAGUGGCUCCGGUGUAUAGAGAGGGCCUCACCGUUUAAGAAGUAAUCAUAGAGACGACGGAACCCACAAUUUCUUUAUCUAUUUACUACUUUCGUUUUUUUUUUUACUAUUUUCUUUCCAAUGCCUCGACAAAAGGUAAAAGCGUGGUCGGGAAGGUUAGAGUAGCAAAAGCCAUUGGAAUUUUGAUUUUAUAAAUUGGAAGAGUCCGUUUUGUUAUUAAUAGACUAGGAAAGGGGAAAAGAAUAACUGAAAGAAAGGAAAUCAAUUAGUUAUUCAUCAAAGUUUCAUUUAUUCAAUGACCAGAAUUAGACGAGGAUAUAUAGCUCGGAGACGUAGAACAAAAAUGCGUUUAUUUGUAUCAAGCUUUCGCGGGGCUCAUUCACGACUUAGCCGAACAAUUACUCAACAGAAAAUAAGAGCUUUGGUUUCGGCUCAUCGCGAUAGAGAUAGGAAAAAAGAGAUUUUCGUCGUUUGUGGAUCACCCGAAUAAAUGCAGUAAUUCGCGGAAAUCAGGUAUCCUAUAGUUAUAGUAGAUUAAUAUACAAUCUGUAUAAGGCGCAGUUGGUUCUUAAUCGUAAGAUACUUGCACAAAUAGCUAUAUCAAAUAGGACUUGUCUUUAUAUGAUUUCCAAUGAGAUUAUAAAAUAAGGAAAUUGGAAGGAAUCCAUUAUAAUUUUAAACGGAGUUCUCUGGAGAAUGAACUCCAGUAAGAGGAAGGUAGAGUAGAAAAUUAAUUCUAAGGAAGAAUGCUUUUUUAUGUUGUUUUAUUGAGAGAGGUUUACUGAUUACUAAUCCGUCAUAUCGGUAAAAUAAUCUUACGGCACGGCUGCUUCACAGAUUUUUGAACAAAACAAAGAAAAAUCCAUUCUUCGGAUUUGAUUUUAUUUUGAUUGAAGAGUAAGCCUAUUUUUUUCUGGUUCUAAGACCGGGAGGUCUAGCGGUCAACCCACUUCUUUCAAAUUGUUUCUCAUUAUUAAGAAAAGGUAACGAAGAUAAAAUACGAGCUUGUUUUAUAGCAAUAGUAAUUAAUCGUUGUUCUUUUAAGGUCAAUCUAUUCACCCGUCUAGAUAAUAUUUUUCCUUGUUCACUAAGAAAUCGACUAAUUAAAGUCAUGUUUCUAUAAUCAAUUCGAUCCCCCGAUUGGAUCGGGGGCAAACGCCUACGAAAAGAUCGCUUGGAUUUAAGAAAGAGUCGCUUGGUUUUAUCCAUAAUUUGUUUAUUCCUUAUCCCUAAAAUACCAUUUCGAUGAAAUCAAAAAAUGAUUUAUAGAAUCAAUUAUAGGAUUUGGUUUGUCUAGAUUUAUUUAUUUGUUUUUAGUAAAAUAUAUGAAAUAAUCUAGAUAUAUAUCUAGAUUAGUUUUUCAUGUCCCUUGGAAGGGUGACACAAAAGCACGCGGCUUGACUCUAUCUAUUUUUUAUCUCCCCAUGAAGUGUAUGCUUGUAACAAUAGGGACAGAAUUUUCUCAAUUCCAAUCGACUGGGUGUAUUGUGUCGAUUCUUUUGAGUAAUAUAUCUGGAAAUACCCCUUGAUUCCUUAUUAACACCGUUUCGAACACAACUAGUACAUUCCAAAAUAACCCUUACUCGGACCUCUUUACCCUUGGCCAUGAACCUCCUUGGGGUUUUUGAUUCACCCAACUUUUCUAUUUUCCGACCCGCAACGAAUAAGAAGCACGGGACAAAAAAAUAGAAGUUGCUAACCACUCAAAAAAAACUUAUGAAAUAAAGAUUUUAUGCAAUCAAUAUAGUAAAUAAAUAGGAAAUCAAAAUAAAAAAUAAUAAGUAAUACAAGAAUUUCUAACUAUAUUGCUAAAUCGCAGUCCAGUAUUUCAUUUAAGGAUCUUGUAGUGGAGGAUACUCUUACCCUAGCCAUAUUUCGAUUUCCGUUUUCUUUUACCUGUCUAUUUGCUUUUAACUGGAUAAUUAAUAAUUAAUUUAAUCGGAGCCUGAACCCGGGUUUCGCUGAGGUUGAAGCCACCUUUUUUCUUUCGCUUUCCUUCUUUCUAAUUGUAAAACAAAAAAACGAAAAGAGGGGAAAGAGAGAUUAGUCACAAAUAUUUGAUUCUAGCUCGAAUCUUCUUCACCCCGUUCCAGUUCAAUAACUAGAAUGAAAAAAAAGGAAAUGUCAAUGCGUCGGGGAAUAAACGGUUGAUUUCUAUCAAUAACCCUGCUAAAGACCCGAACCAUAGAGUACUUAGUACCGGUGCCACGGAAAGAUAUGUUUUUAGAUCUCGCAUUGAAAAUCCUCCUUCUUUUUUGUUUUUGUAUUCCCUAUUGGAAUAUAUUAUGGUAAGAGAUGUAUAUGUAGUUAAAGGCCCACUUGUAUUUGUGCGCGGAAUCCCUAAUUCAAAUUGAAAUGCGCAAUGAUUCGGUAUAUAAGAUUUGAUUUUCUUUUUUUUUUUUUUCUUAAAACAGAAAAUGGGUCACUUUACACCUGCGAAUUCCCAAGAAAAAUAAUAAUAAAUUAUUAUUAUAUGGUAUAUGAUAUGAGACCAAAAACAAGAAAAGGCAAGAUCCAUUUUGCAUAUCACUAGAGGGAAUAAAAAAUAAGGAUGUGGAAAACAAGACAGGGAUUCUUUACAAUGAUAUUGUAGGCCAAUUGAAAGGGAUGUAGCGCAGCUUGGUAGCGCGUUUGUUUUGGGUACAAAAUGUCACGGGUUCAAAUCCUGUCAUCCCUACCAAUUACCGCUCAGAGCAGCAGUAACGCGAGAUCUUUUUUUUUUUUUUUUUUCGAUCGAUUUCAUUUUGACAUACAUAAAUUUCUAUUUUAUGAUAUAUGAUAGUAUACACAUACAAGAAUUGUUGGGGUAAAAAAAGAGAAUCUCCUUAUUUCCAGCCUUUUUCGUUGUGAUAAGAAAGCGCUCUUAGUUCAGUUCGGUAGAACGUGGGUCUCCAAAACCCAAUGUCGUAGGUUCAAAUCCUACAGAGCGUGAUUCCGCUCUUGUCGUCUUAGAUCUAAAACCAUACACACUGAACUGAAAUAAUUGAACAGCAAUCUGAAUUUGACCCUGACCUCCCCCUCGGAUAAAUAAAGAAGGGAGGGGUCAGUUAAAAAAAGAGAUGUUAAUUAAUCAAAGGUCCAACUGAUCACCACGUCUGUAUGUAAAUAGGCGGUUACGAAUAAUCCAGCCAAAGUAAUAGGAAUUAGACCUAAGACGAUUCCAAAUAGAAAGACUUCAAUCAUUUGAAUUUGAUUUUAUUUUUUUUGAAUUUGAAAGGUUAAAAAGAGAGGUAAUAUCUAUUCCUAAAUAUUAAUCCGCCUGCCUAGGAAUCUCAAUAACCAAUAAUUGGUAAUUAACGUGGUACGGUAAGGAACUAGACAAUAUGUGGAAUACCACAGAAGGGUUUCUUUUUAUGAAUUAUUCAUUCAAUUAAUUUCAAAUAAGUCCUAUCUUACUCAGACCAAUAAAUAGAGCCGAGGUUAUAGUUAAAGCCGCUAGUAGAAAACCAAAAUAACUAGUUAUAGUAGGCAUGACAGAGCUAAAGGAAAUAUGUUCUUUUUAUACAUAUGUUUAUAAAGCACUUCCCUAAGUUUCCACUUUUGGACGAUACGAAGAUAAGCAAAAAUGCUCUACCCAUUGAAAGAAUACCUUCAAUUGAAAGUUUUGAUUCUUCAAGUAUUCUAGAAGGUACUAACAAAAAUGAGUGGCAGGGAUAGAAAAAGAAACCAAUUCAUCGUCUUUUACAGCGACCCAUCCCACGAUUCCGAAUCAACAGAUUGAGUGGGCAACUCUUGAAUCAACUAAUAUUAAAAAAAUACUAAAAACUAUGCCAUGUAACUUUGAGGAAUCGCUUCUAUUUUGUAUUUUAAUUUUUUCUUUUUUAUUGUAUCAAAUACAUUUUCGACUAAAGAGUGACCACCUUAUAAUACUUUUUUCUUUACUUUAAUACUUUAAAUAACCUUUGCUUUACUUUUUUCUUUUUUAUUUCUUUUUUACUUUAUUUUAUUUACUUUAUAUUUUUAACUCAUUAGGUUCAGCGGUGGGUUCAUUCCCAUAAUAUCUCAAAUGAGAAGAAAAAAGGUAUCGCACAAUCAGAUCACUCAAAAAAGAAAAUUUUGAUUUCGGUUCAAUUCGAUUCUAAAACUAAGUAAGAACUCCUAUUAUCUUUUCCUUUAUAGAUUUUCUAUUUUGUCUUUCCAUAUUAUCUAUAAAGGAUAAAGCCCACGCGUUGUAGGUAGGUCAAGAAAGAACCCUUGGGUCUAAUACAACAACGCGGGCAUGACAAAUCUAGAUUAUUAGAAUUAUUUUAGGCAUUUUUCGCGUUCUGUUAUUUUUAUCGAAUCCUAUCUCCCGCCGUUACUUGUUUUUGGACAACUAAACAAUUCCUUGAAAAAAAAAAAAAGGAGGAGAAUUACAACAAAAAAUUCUACAUCUACGAAAAGGAGAUUUGUAGAUCUCAUAUCGAAUUGAAAUGGGGAAAUAUGAUAAUCUUCAUCAUGAAUUAUUAGAAAACAAUCCGUAGGAUUCGCAUUUUCCUUUAUUUUGAAUUUCGAGUCCGAAGACAAGCAUGGAAAUGGAGACAAAAGAACCCGCAGACUACAGAAAUUUUAGUAAUUUCUAUUGAAAUUUUCUAUUGAAUAGUACGAAUAGUACAUAGUUAUUCCUCUCAUGUCAUUCUAAGUUCUUUUCUUCUUCUAGGGAACAAGUUAACACUUGAGCCAUUAGUCUAAGAGCGUUUCAUCUCUAUCUCUAUACUGAGUAUGCUCUGCACUUGCCUUUGAGUAAGGAUCUUGUGCAUCAGAAAAGUCCAAAUUCAGUGAAUUUCCAUUUCAUUUACUGAUAUCUUUUACGGAAUCGAUCGCCCUUUGACUGUACAAGAAUAUGUCUUUGGGUGGUAUUGUGGGAGAUGGUUUUCUUCUACUGGUUUGAUAUCUAAAGGAUUAGGGUAUAUCGGCUGGAACCCCGAACUUGCAGACUACUGGACCAAAGAACAGUUUCAAACUGUUGUAGUUUUGGAAUAACAACGCCACGUACUCUAACCCCGACUGGUAUCAUCAUCAAUAAAAACUUUCUUCCUUGAGGAAGGAUUAUAUUUUUUCACAAUCAAAGUUCUUUUCCUAUACACUUUGUAAGCUUUGCUUGUAUUUGAAUAACCAAGAAAAAUACCAACAUUAGAUUUUGGAUCAAAUUUACCAAGAUUAUCUUUUGUGUUCAAAAUAAAACAUUUGCAUCCAAAAACUUUGAAGUAACUAAUGUUGGGUUUUCUAUCUUUCCAAAGCUUGUAGGGAGUUUCAUUGAGGUAAGGUCUAAUCAACACAUGAUUUAAAACAUAAUAAACGGUGUUGACGGCUUCAGCCCAAAAAUAUUAUGGCAAUGCAUUCUCAUUUAACAUGGUCCUAGCCAUUUGUUGGAUAGACCUAUUCUUUCUCUCAACAACUCCAUUUUGUUGUGGAGUCCUAGGUGAUGAAAAUUUAUGUUUGAUACCAAAAUCAUUACAAAAAUUCUCAAAUGCAUGAUUUUCAAAAUCUCCACCAUGAUCAUUUCUAAUACAAGAAAUAUGAUAUCCCUUUUCAUUUUGAACCUUUUUACAUAAAACUCUAAGUGCAUCAAAGGUUGACCUUAAUAGCUAAGAACAAUACCCAUGUGUAUUUACCCAACAGGUACGUGGCGUUGUUAUACUUGAACUAUGAUAGUGCUAGACUAUCCUUUGGACCAGUAGUCCGCAAGUUCUAGUUUCCAGCCGAUAUACCUAUAGUUCCUGAGAUAUAAAACCUAAAAAAGCAAAAGCCAUUGAUCAAGAUACCACCGGAAAAUAGGUCACCUCUAACCUUCAAAGAGGGUGAAUGUUGUGAGAAAACAGUUUUAUUUUAAAUCGAUUUUAUAAAUAAAUCAGGACUUUUCUGAUACACAAGAUCCUAGAAAAUAGAGAUGAACGCUCUUAGUUUAAUAACUCAAGUAUUUUCUUCGUUACCUAAAAGAAGAAGAGAGACUUAGGAAGCCAUAGAAGUUUAAGAAAAACUUCGAAAUAUUAUUGAUGGCAAUAUGAAUUUUACAAAGACGAAAGAGCUCUUAAAUAGAGCUGGAAAGCUAAAAUAAAGAUAAAGAUAAAGAUAAGACAGGACCCUUAUCUUUUCUUUAAGCAUAAAGCAAAAGCAAACCAUAAUUAAAGCAAAAGCAAAAGCAUAAAAGUUAAAACACACUUUAGACAAGGUAGAACCCAUGUCUUUUAUUGAAAGCAGGAAAAACCGAGAUUCCCGGAUGACUCUGUAGCCAUGUGAGGUGAUUAUGGAGUUGAGGGAAAUCUAGAUGGGGACACGUCACCGGUUUCAUUUUCAUAUUCUUCUUUUGCUCUUUGGAUCUCUUGGUAAAUCAGGAUGUCUUCAUCUAAUUCGGGGCUUGUUGGUCAUUGUGCUUUAGUUGGAGUGGACGAAGAGCUUGGUUCAAUAACGGUGUACUGAGUGUCUUGGGUCUGUAAUAAGGAUUGAAAGUUUGCCCAAGGGUCUUGAGCGUCUUGGAAGAGAACAUUGGUGUAGUUAGGCCUUUGUUCUCGAACAAGAAUGCCAUUAGGACUGGAACUGGAUCCUGGAGUACAUAUUUGAGUGCCUGGUAGAAUCUCAAGAGUGUGGGAAGGACCAAUGGAGGUGUGGUGAAUGUCUGUUGGGACAGGUUGGACAUUGUUGAGUUCUAACAAGUAGGCUUUGAGAGUGGAGAUGAUUGUAGGAUCAUGGUCAAGAGGGAAAGGAUGAGGGAAAGUUUUCCAUUCAUACGCCAUGUCCUGUGUCCAGUAAUCUUUUGUCUGAGGAUGUUGGAAAUAUGUCCUAUGGACUAUGAAUACCGAAGUAAACAUAUCUGCUUCUUGAUCUGGAAUUCGAUCUAACUGAUGAAAGUUAGAUAAAUUUUGUAAUUGUUUAUACCACCAAGUGAGUGGUGAAAACCAUUCAAGGAGUGUCCAGAGAAGUGUGGGUGCAUGAUCAGGUGUGGAGAUAUGCCUAAGGGUUGGUCGGACAAGAAGAAUAAGCUUUGUAGCAAACAGGACUAUGAGACACCACAUGUAUCAUAACUCAUCUUCAGAGAUGGUGAGACUGGGAACACUGGUGAAACCAGAGAGGAACAUAUGUUCUAAGCAUAGAGAGGGAAACCUUUUGAGUUUGGUUCUAUGAACAUUCAUGAAAUACCUGAAAAGGAAUUUCUUUACGAAGGUUUGGAUUUGGAAAGAUGUACGGAAAGUGAGGUUGAGAGGAAAAGCUUUUUGAGUGAGAGCCUUGAAGGGGAGUGUGCGAUACAUGGGUAUUAUUGGGAUGGUUUGGAUGGAAGAGAUGAGAGCAGGGCUUUUUAUAGAUGGUCGGGUGAGGAAAUCAGGGAAAAGAUUUUUAUCACCUUUGAUGUGUUGGACUGUGUAGUCAUACUUUGCAAACCAUGUCUUUAAGUUGAGCAAUUACUUGUCAGGAAGCAAUUUGUUCUUCAAGUCAAAGAUCUUUGGAAAAGAACUGUUGUCCAUUCUGAUGAGGAAAUUGUGGCUGAUGAGAUGAAAUUCAAACUUCUUGAUUCCAUAUUUUACCGCAAGAAUUUCCUUGUAAAUCACAUGAUAAUUCUUUCUGAAUCUUUGAACUGAUGAGAACCAUCAAGGGAAUACCAUUAAAGCUUCAAGUGAUCCUUUGCACAUUCAUGGAGGCCCAAUUACAAGAGCUAGAGCCAAAAAGUUGCAAGCUGCAUUAAAUGGAUUAAUUGAGAAAAUAUGGAUUGAAAAUGCAAUUCAAGAUGCAAGACAUCAUGAAUUGGGCUUAGAGAGAAGACAAGGCAUUGUGGGCAUUAUUCAAGCUAUUGGGCAGCCAAAUACACAAUUUGGAUCAAAUGUAGAAAGGGCAAAUUAGGAAUAAAUCUGGUAUUGAUUGAGCUAGAAUUAAGCUAUAUACUGUUGGAAAGAUAAUUAAGUUAGUUUUCCAAUGCAUUUUACAGAGCUGGAUUUGGAGUUCUCUAGAAGUAGUUAUGAUCAAUUUAUUACAGCUUGUUCAGGCUUGGGAAUUCAAACGACUCCUUUGAUUAUUCAACUUCAUGGAGGGUUGUUCCAAUGUUUCCAUUUGUAUUUUUAGGAUCUUGGGUUUCUUUUAGCCUAUUUAAACUCAGCAACCUUGCUAUGUAUAAUAAUCAAGAGAAUAAUGUUAUUUGAAUUUGAAGAUUAUUCUUUCUUUGGUUCUUUUGAGAACUAGUGAACUUAUCAAGAAUUUGCAUUCUUGUAGUGUUCCAAAUUUAGAUUUAUCACUCACCUCCUCAUCUAUUUCUUGAGUGUGGCGUCAAUAUCAUUCUCUAUACCUUUGAUUCAUGCUUUUCUUAAGCAUUGCGUCAAGGUUUUGUUUGUCAUAAAUCAGUUUAGAACUUUCUUGGGAAGUUGAAACUACAAUUUAAGUGAGUUUCAAAGUUUCGUUGUGGGAUUCACAUCAUUUGGUAUCAGAGCUAGUUUCUAAUCAGGUUUGAAUGUCUUAUUUAUUUUGAUUAUCAAAAAAAAUAAAGAGAGAAAAAAAUGUACAAAAAAAAAUUACAAAAGGAUUCAAGUAUUUCUACUUUCAUCAAAUUGAAUUUUAGUUAUUCAUUCUCCUUGACAUUGUUUACACACAAUAUCAAUUGUGUUGCUUCGCUUGCUUGCUUUCCUUUCUUCAAUUUCCUUUUCAUUCUUUGUGUUCUCUUAAUUUCUUUUCUUUGUUGUCAUAUUUGGUGUGCCACUUGGGUUUUUUUCUUGAUUGUGUUUAUUGAGUGUGGUAAAAGGCAAAAGUUUGUGAGAUCAUUAGAGGGAAAAAGCCAAUUUGUGUGUUAAACACGAGAGUUAAGUGACAUCAAAUUGAGUGAAACACGUGAGGGAGUGUUGUGAGGUCUUUUUGCUAACAUUCUUUUCAGAUCACAAAUAUGUCAAAAGAUCAAGAAGCUAUAGACCAAUCAAUUAUGCUCAAGGCCAUGCAACAACAAUUUGAGCGCAUGAAUCUGAUGUUUGGAGAGAUCUAUGACAAAUUGGAGAGGCAAGACACUGUCAUAGCCAAUCUACAUAGGGGGUAACAACCAAUAGCUCCUAAUGUAAGAGGUAAUCAAGGGCGUGCUGCCAUGGGAGAAGAAGAUGGUGAUGACUUAGAAGGGCACUGUUGACAUGCGUGGAAGAGAUCAUAGAAGGGCAAGACGUAUAGAUCAUGAUUUGGGGAGUAUCAAACUAAAAAUUCCUUUUUUUUCAAGGUAAAAAUGAUCCGGAAGUUUAUUUGGAGUGGGAAAAAAAGGUGGAGCUACUAUUUGAUUGCCACAACUACUCUGAGGAGAAAAAGGUAAAACUAGCUGCUGUUGAAUUUACUGAUUAUGCUAUUAUUUGGUGGGAUCAACUUGUUUUGAGUAGAAGAAGAAAUCGUGAAAGGCCUAUAAACACUUGGGAGGAGAUGAAGGCCAUUAUGAGGAGGAGAUUUGUUCCUAGUCAUUAUUGUAGGAAGCUGCACCAAAGGCUUCAAAGUCUUACAUAAGGUUCCAGAAGUGUGGAAGAUUACCACUAGGAGAUGGAAAUAAUCAUGAUUCGAGCCAACAUUGAAGAAGAACGAGAGGCCACUAUGGCAAGAUUUUUACAUGGUUUAAAUCAAGAUAUUGCUAAUGUGGUUGACUUGCAGCACUAUGUAGAGUUGGAAGACAUGGUUCACAUGGCCAACUGAAAAAGAAAGGUUCCACUAGAACCAAUUUGGGUUCAUCUUCCUCAUGGAAGUCAAAAUGGAGCAAAGAUGAAAAGGCUAUUUUAAAGCCUAAGAUUGAGCCAUUCAAGGAUCAUAAAGAGGGAGGCAACCAAAGCAAAGGUAAAUCUGAUUCCCAACACUCUAGAAAUAGAGAUAUUAAGUGUUUUAAAUGUUUGGGGACAGGUCAUAUUGCAUCUCAAUGCCCAAAUAAGAGAGUAAUGAUCUUGAGGGAUGAUGGAGAUGUUGAAACCGAGAGUGAAUCAGAUGAUGAACCUAUGCCACCUUUGGAGGAUGCUAAUGAUGGCGUAGAGUAUCAUGUUGAUGGUAAAUUGAUGGUUGUUAGGCGUGCUCUCAACUUGCAAGUAAAAGAAGAUGCAGAGGUACAACGUGAUAACAUCUUUCAUACUAGAUGCCACAUCAAAGAUAAGGUAUGUAGUAUGAUAAUUGAUGGUGGAAGUUGUACUAAUGUGGCUAGCACUAUUUUAGUUGAAAAAUUGAAUUUGAAAACUUUGAAACAUCCUAGGCCAUAUAAGCUACAAUGGCUGAAUGAUUGUGGGGAAGUCAAAGUAAAUAAACAAGUGCUGGUUUCAUUCUCUAUUGGGAGAUACAAGGAUGAAGUUCUAUGUGAUGUAGGGCAACCUUGGCAAUAUGAUAGGCGUGUGACACAUGAUGGUUACUUAAAUAGAUAUUCUUUUGUAAUGAAUGAAAAGCAAAUCACUCUUGCACCAUUAACACCUAGGCAAGUGUAUGAGGAUCAAAUGUCAAUACAAAAAGAGAGUGAUACAAAAAAAGAAAAUGAGAGUACAAAAGAGAGAUUGAGAGAAAAACAAGUGAAACGAAAAAAAAAAAUAUUGUUAAGAGAAAAGAGAGGCAGCAAGUGAACUUGUUUGCAAAAGAGAGCGAGGUUAAGAGGGCUUUCUUUUCAAAACAGCCUAUCAUUAUACUUUUGUGCAAAGAGGCUUGUUUACAUACUAAUGAGCUUAACUUUUCUUUGCCUAGUGCUAUUGUGACUCUUUUGCAGGACUUUGAUGAUGUGUUUCCAAAUGAAGUCCCUAAUGGUUUGCCACCUAUUAGGGGAAUUGAGCAUCAAAUAGACUUAGUCCCUGGAGCUACCAUUCCUAAUAGACCCGCAUAUAGAAGUAACCCUGAGGAGACAAAGGAGCUUCAAAGGCAAGUUGAAGAACUCUUGGCAAAGGGAUAUGUGAGGGAGAGCAUGAGUUCAUGUGCGGUACCAGUUUUACUAGUGCCCAAAAAGUAUGGCACAUGGAGGAUGUGCGUUGAUUGUCGUGCAAUUAAUAAAAUCACUGUAAAGUAUCAACAUCCUAUUCCUAGACUUGAUGACAUGCUUGAUGAAUUGCAUGGUUCUUGUGUGUUUAGUAAAAUUGAUCUUAAAAGUGGAUAUCAUCAAGUUAGGAUUAGAGAGGGAGAUGAGUGGAAAACUGCCUUUAAAACAAAAUAUGAUUUAUAUGAGUGGUUAGUGAUGCCAUUUGGGUUAUCUAAUGCACCUAGCACUUUUAUGAGGUUAAUGAACCAUGUUUUGCGUGCUUUUAUUGGUAAAUUCGUAGUUGUCUAUUUUGAUGAUAUUUUGAUCUAUAGCAAAGGCUUAGAUGAACACAUUGAACAUUUGCAAACUGUAUUGACUGUUUUAAGGAAGGAAAAGUUAUAUGCUAACUUGAAAAAGUGUUCCUUUUGUACAAAUCAGAUUGUUUUUCUUGGUUAUGUUGUAAGUGCUAAAGGAAUUGAGGUUGAUGAAGAGAAGGUAAAGGCUAUUAAAGGGUGGCCUACACAUAAAAGUGUAAGUGAGGUAAGAAGUUUUCAUGGUUUGGCUAGUUUUUAUAGAAGAUUUGUGAAAGAUUUUAGCACCCUUGCUGCACCAUUGACUGAAAUUGUGAAGAAACAUGUGGGAUUUAAGUGGGGUAGUGAACAAGAAAGGGCAUUUAAUCUAAUCAAGGAGAAAUUGGUUUAGGCACCAUUACUCGCUUUACCCAAUUUUGCUAAAACUUUUGAAAUUGAGUGUGAUGCUUCAGGUAUAGGUAUUGGAGCUGUUUUGAUGCAAGAAGGGCAUCCAAUUGCUUAUUUUAGUGAGAAAUUGAGUGGAGCAGCCCUAAACUAUCCUACAUAUGACAAGGAGAUGUAUGCAUUGGUGAGAGCAUUAGAAACUUGGCAACACUAUCUUCUACCUAAAGAGUUUGUUAUACACACUGAUCACGAGUCCUUGAAGCAUUUGAAAGGGCAAGGUAAGUUGCAUAAGAGACAUGCCAAAUGAUUUGAAUUUAUUGAGCCAUUUCCCUAUGUGAUCAAAUACAAAAAAGGUAAGGAGAAUGUGGUGGCUGAUGCAUUAUCUAGAAGAUAUGCACUUAUCUCUACAUUAAAUGCAAAGUUGUUAGGAUUUGAGUACAUUAAAGAAUUAUAUGUUAAUGAUCCUGAUUUUGCUAAUGUGUUUAAUGCUUGUGAGAAAGUUUCAUUUGGUAAGUUCUAUAAGCAUGAUGGGUUCUUAUUUAGAGAAAAUAAAUUGUGUGUGCCUAAUAGUUCUUUGCGUGAAUUGCUUGUGCGUGAAGCUCAUGGGGGAGGUUUAAUGGGACAUUUUGGCAUUGCAAAGACUUUAGAUGUUUUAAAAGAACACUUCUUUUGGCCACAUAUGAAACGUGAUGUUGAAAGAAUAUGUGAGAAGUGUAUCACUUGUAAACAUGCUAAGUCUAGAGUUUUACCCCAUGGAUUAUAUAACCCUCUACCCAUACCUAGUGAACCUUGGGUUGAUAUUUCUAUGGACUUUGUUUUGGGUUUACCUAAGUCAAAAAGGGGAAGGAUUCUGUUUUUGUUGUUGUUGAUAGGUUUUCAAAGAUGGCACAUUUCAUUCCAUGUCACAAAACUGAUGAUGCAACAAACAUAGCUAAUUUAUUUUUCAAGGAAAUAGUCAGAUUGCAUGGAGUACCAAGGAGCAUAGUUUCAGAUCGAGAUGCUAAGUUCUUGAGCCACUUUUGGAAAACUUUGUGGGGUAAGUUGGGUACUAAACUUUUGUUUUCUACUACUUGUCAUCCACAAACUGAUGGACAAACUGAGGUUGUAAAUAGAACUUUGUCUACUUUGUUGCGAGCCAUUAUUCAAAAGAACUUGAAAACUUGGGAAGAAUGUUUGCCACAUGUUGAAUUUGCUUACAAUAGAACUGUCCAUUCAGCUACUAAAUUUUCACCAUUUGAGAUUGUAUAUGGUUUUAAUCCAUUAACUCCUUUGGAUUUAUUACCUUUACCUAUUGAUGAGCGUGCUAGUAUGGAUGGUAAAAAGAAAGCUGAAUUUGUCAAGCAAUUGCAUGAGAGAACGCGACAACACAUAGAAAAGAGAACUAAACAAUAUGCUACUCAAGCCAACAAAGGACGUAAGCAAGUGGUUUUUCAGCUUGGAGAUUGGGUGUGGGUGCAUAUGAGAAAGGAGAGGUUCCCAGCACAAAGGCGUUUCGUGCUUCCAAGGGGAGAUGGUCCAUUUCAAGCGGUUGCACGGAUCAAUGACAAUGCCUACAAAUUGGAUCUUCCUGGUGAGUAUAAUGUAAGUGCUACUUUUAAUGUUUCUGAUCUUUCUCCUUUCGAUGUAGGUGACGAUUGGAGGACGAAUCCUUUUGAAGAGAGGGGGAAUGAUGAGAACCAUCAAGGGAAUACCAUUAAAGCUUCAAGUGAUCCUUUGCACAUUCAUGGAGGCCCAAUUACAAGAGCUAGAGCUAAAAAGAUGCAAGCUGUAUUAAAUGGAUUAAUUGAGAAAAUAUGGAUUGAAAAUGCAAUUCAAGAUGCAAGACAUCAUGAAUUGGGCUUGGAGAGAAGACAAGGCAUUGUGGGCAUUAUUCAAGCUAUUGGGCAGCCAAAUACACAAUUUGGAUCAAAUGCAGAAAGGGCAAAUUCGGAAUAAAUCUGGUAUUGAUUGAGCUAGAAUUAAGCUAUAUACCGUUGGAAAGAUAAUUAAGUUAGUUUUCCAAUGCAUUUUACAGAGCUGGAUUUGGAGUUCUCUAGAAGGAGUUAUGAUGAAUUUAUUAUAGCUUGUUCAGGCUUGGGAAUUCAAACGACUUCUUUAAUUAUUCAACUUCAUGGAGGGUUGUUCCAAUGUUUCCAUUUGUAUUUUUAGGAUCUUGGGUUUCUUUUAGCCUAUUUAAACUCAGCAACCUUGCUAUGUAUAAUAAUCAAGAGAAUAAUGUUAUUUGAAUUUGAAGAUUAUUCUUUCUUUGGUUCUUUUGAGAACUAGUGAACUUAUCAAGAAUUUGCAUUCUUGUGGCGUUCCAAAUUUAGACUUAUCACUCACCUCCUCAUCUAUUUCUUGAGUGUGGCGUCAAUAUCAUUCUCUAUACCUUUGGUUCAUGCUUUUCUUAAGCAUUGCGUCAAGGUUUUGUUUGUCAUAAAUCAGUUUAGAACUUUCUUGGGAAGUUGAAACUACAAUUUAAGUGAGUUUCAAAGUUUCAUUGUGGGAUUCACAUCAUUUGGUAUCAGAGCUAUUUCUUGAGUCAAGGUUUUGUUUGUCAUAAAUCAGUUUAGAACUUUCUUGGGAAGUUGAAACUACAAUUUAAGUGUGAGUUUCAAAGUUUCAUUGUGGGAUUCGCAUCAUGAACUGUCCACUUGCAUGACCGCAAUAGGACUCUAAGUCACUGAUCUUUUCCAAGAGGAUAGCACUCCAAAAGUCAUCACUAGCAUCUGUCUGGAGAAUGCGUUGUCCGGUAGUGGGAAUUUUGAGUGGAGGAGGUGACUGGGCUAUCUUUUUGAGCUACUUCACAGUUUUUGUCUGAUCUAGACCCCAUGGUGGAGCCAUCUUUUUGAGCAUGCGUGAUAAUUGACUAGUGUGGACCGCAACUUUGGGAAUAAAGUCUCUGACAUAAUUGACAAUUCCAAGGAAUUGUUGAAUUUGCUUUUUGGUGAGAUCUAUGUCGGGAAACUUUAAUAAUUCUGCUGCAAUGUGUGGUCCUAGAUAGUAGUGGCCAUCUUUUAAGACCAUGCCAAGAAAGUCAAUAGAUUCCUUUCCUAUGUUGCUUUUCUUUUCAGAAAGCAUGAUGCCAUGUGUCUGUACGAUUUCCAAGAAAUCUGAAAGGAGUUGUUGAUGUGUUUGGUGGUCAUGGGAAAACAACAGGAUGUUGUCAAUGUAGAUCAAAGCAUGAUGGAGGAUCGGAGAGAAGAUCUUAACCAUUGCUUUUUGAAAUAAGGAUGGAGCAACUUUGAUACCGAAGGGUAGAACCGUCCACUGAUAAUGAGCAUCAGGGAUACAGAAGGCUGUUUUGGGACGGUCUUCUGGAGAAAUACCACGUUGCCAGAAACCAGCUUUAAGAUCAAACUUUGAAAAUACCUUUGCACCUUGAAGAUGAAUGAAUAGGGACUGGAUCUUGGGGAGAGGAAAUUUAUCAUCUUUAAGGAAAGCAUUAAGUGGCUGGUAAUCAAUCACUAAUCUCUUUUUUCCACAAACUAAUUCAAAUCAUUUUUCAACAUAGAAAGCUUGACAAGCCCAAUCAGAAGUAGUAGGUUCUAUGAGGCCUUGCCAAAGCAAUUGAGUGCAUUCAUGCUUGGCGAGAGUGAGAUUAGAUGGAGGCAUCCUUGGAUGUGUGGCUUUGGUAGGAUUGACAUCUUCAUUGAGUGAAAAAUUGUGUAUUUUUCCAAAGUGGUGAUGGAUGGGUGAAAUAUGAGUGAUUUUCAGGACAAAGUUCUAGAAACUUUUAGGAAAUGGAGGUAUAAGGGGGAGCUGUAUCUGACAAUGUAUAUAGACAAAGAACAUCUGUAUAUGGCAUAAACAUUUGUUUGAAUUUAAUGCAUGUUGGCGUAAUGAAAAGGUUUUUUACCAGUUGGAGGAUAUCAAAUCCGAUGAGGAGAUCUUUGUCUGGCAAAUAUGAACCAACAAUCUUUUGCCAAAUGAUACAGUUGGGGAAGAACUGGAUACCAAUGGGUUUUUUGGUAAUGAGAGAAGUUUCAAAAACUUUCCAUUUGUAUGGUUGAUUGUUGUCCCAAUAGUCUGGAGGAAGGAUUUUAAGAUUGAGCAUACUGUGCUGUGCGCCAGUAUCAAGGAAACCAAUAACUGAGACAUGUUUAUGGAAUUUAGAAGGGAUGACUGAAAUUUUUACUGAUGGACCAGGAAGUGUGGGGCGGAUGUGGUUAAUCUCUUGAAUAGUGGAGAUUACAGAAAUGUCAUCUGGAUAUGAAUCUGUUGAAUCAGCAAGGAUGAAGGCUGUAUGAUCAUCUUUCUCGGAUUGUUCUGAGAAGAUGGAUUCAACUUCUUCGUUGUCAGAAAGGAUAGAAGAUUGUUGUAGGUGCUGAAUGAGACGAACAACUUUUGCUCACUUAUUUGGGCAAUUACGGGCAAAAUGUCGGCGUUUCUUACAAAUAAAGCAACGAUUGUGUUUCUUCUGUCUGAACUAGGAAGGAUCCUUUUUUUCUGAAGUAUCUGUAAGGCUUCUUUGGUUUUUUGGAAGAGGAUAUGUGGAAAUGCUUCUGAAAGUGUUUCUUUUUUGUGGUUGGACAAGUGCACUUUUUGUCAUCUUUGCACUGGAUUUUGAGGUAGGGUUUUUUACAGGCUGAGGCAAAGGGUUUUUUGUGUUCAAUAAGAUCUUUGAAGAAAUCUUUUUGCUCACAGAUCUUAUCAAGGCAUAGCAUAGUUAAUUGAAAGAUUUUUCCAAGGGAGACAUUUGCUAUGUUGAGGUUAAAGGCUGUCAACUGUCUUUGAAGCUCUGGCUGAAGCUUUGGCUGAAGCUCUGGUGGUAAAGAUGCAGCAAAGACAUGCUUUAAGGAUGGAUCAUUGAAUCCAUUCAGUUUUUAAUAAAGCAUGCUCAUCCUUUUGUAAUGCAUUUCCAGGUGAUGUCGUUUAAGAGAACAACAUUUCAUCUGGUGAUAUUCUUUUCGAGAUGCUUCAGUUGAUGAGGCUGGUUCUCCAAUAAAUUGCUCAUAAAUGACUGCAAGAGCUAUAGAAAUGGUAGUUUGAAUCAAUUGGAGUUGUCUGUAUUUGCCUAGACUUUCAAACCAAUCUCGUAGAGAUCCAGUGAAUCUGGAACAAAACUCUCGGAGAACAUUAUGAGAUUGUGCAUUGGGACUGGUCAUUUGCACAUCAAUCCAUGCAGUAAAUUCUUGAUGUCGAGCUUGCCAUUUUUGACGAGGGAUGUCAUCAAAUGUAAACCAUUGGGAAGAAGAUGGUUUGGAAGACUUUUUAGAAACCGGAGGGAUAGAGUGAGCCGGUUCUGUUUGUGAGCCUUGGACAUCAUCAUUAUCAUCAGAAGAUUCUUCGGCAAUAGGAGUGUCGACAACAGAAGUGGAUGUACUAGGAUCUUUUGUUUUUGUGGCCAUGAGAAGACCAGAAAUAUCUGCAUAUUGAGACUCUAAGUCUGAAGACGUUUGUUCAGAUGAGCUGAAAUUAUCUGUGGAGGGUAAACUUUCUUCUGAGGUUGAAUCGGAGUCAUUGUUUUGCGUGUCAAUCUGUUGAUAAUGGUAUUGGUAAGCUGGAGCUUUGUCUUUCUUUGGAGGUUCAAGAGUUGCUUUAGGAGAGUCUUCUGGAACUUGAAGAUCUUCCUUGGGUGGAGGUUUUGAGAUCUUGACUUUUGAUUUGGAUCUUUUUGGUGGUGGAACGGAAGGAAUAUUAUGGAGAUGGGAGAGACCAAAGAACUGAUCGUAAGUUGAUUGUUUAGAAGGAGUGUAAAAAGGCUAGUAUGAUGUGAAUAGUGGUGCUGGUAUAGGUAUGGACUGUGUUUUGGUGAAAAGGGAAGGUUGUGUUUUGUCAGCAUCAAUUCUAGCCAAUUCUGCCUUCAACUGUUUGAUCUCUGCUUCUUUCUUAUUGAAUGCGGGACCCCAAAUACGAUUGUUAAUCAUUGUUCUGAGAUCGAUAUCUAAUUCAGAGAUUAUGUUUUACAGAUUUGAAUAAAUCUGUUCAAGUUGGGAAGUGAUUGUGUCCACCUUUGUUUCUGUUUGUGACACCUGUGAUGCCACUUUGUCAGUCUUUUUACCAAGAUGGUGGAGAGCUUGAUUCUGAGCACUGGCAUUUUGGGUUUGCCAGUUUAGCACUGCUUCAUACUGUUUUGGUGCUUCUGGUGCUCCAGAGGUUGUGAUCGGUGAUUGGACAUAGGGUUGAGAAACAACUUUAGUUUGAGGGUCUGUGUGCCUUUCGAGUGGAGGAAAGGAUUCUUGGUAUGAUUGGCUAGAAGAUGAGAACAUCAAGCAUGACUUGAUUUUUGGUUGAGUAGGAACAAGCUUAAAUGAGGAUUCUUGUUGGAGUUGCCUGAGUGCUUUUUUGUAGAUGGGUAAUGGUUGAUCUGAUUCUGGAUCAUCCGGAGGUCUUGGGAGAUAGGGCCGACAUGGAGUUUUAGGAGGAGAAGGUUUUUUCUUUCUCCUUCGUCUCAUGAGUUCAAAGUCUUCGUCAUCAUCUGUGUCAUCCAAGUAGGGACAAUCUGGAUUACACAUAUGGGCUUCUGGAACAUCCUAUAGGAAAUGACCGUUGACUUUGUCAGGGCACACUGGAUACCCUUCUGAGGAAAAUCCAUAGAUUGAAGAUUUGGCUCUUGUCCAGUAGAGACUGCAGUGAUCAUAGUAGUAUAAGAGAGCCGUGGAGGACCUGGGCUUGGUUUAUCAGGAGUCUGAAAAGACAUCUUGACUUGUCCGUCUGAUCUUCUUUCAAAGAUGGCUUGGGACGUCUGGACAGGUUCUGAAUUCUGAUGGAAUUGAUCAUAAUUAGUAAGCCAUUCCAAAGGCAUGAGUUGAAGUAACUCUUGCUUUUGAAUUUGUUUGGGGAUCUGGAUGAUGGUUGGAAUUGUAUCUAUGUCUACAAGAAUCAUCAGUGCAUCACUGGUUGUUUGUGCAGUUGGGAGAUAUAGCGUAUGAUUUUGCAAUCGAUACACUAUCUGGUGAUAGAGAGUGGCUAUUUUGGAAGUGGAUAUUUGUUCUGCUCCUUGGAGCUGGAUUUGGACUUUCAGUGUUGUGGGAAGGUUGGGAUCUUCUAGGGACAUGUUGAAAUUUGGGUAGAAGGUUAACAAGACACUUCCAGCAUGGAAAGUGGUUAAAACAGUGCCAAUAACAUCAUGUUGAUACUGUUUGAACCUUGUGUCAAGGAGAGCAAUUUUGGCUGUGACGGGUAAGCCUUUUCUACCAUGUAAAGUGAGGAUAAGCCUGACACCACCUAGGUGAAGGUGUGUAUAUCCUUCUCGUUUCUAAUUGGUUACGAGAUCUGUUGGUAUAUCCAUGGUGACAUAUUGUUCACUUUGAGAGGCUUGGAGAGCACACGGAUGUACUCUUUAAGAAGAGGUCUUUUGUGGAGAUCAAGGUUCGGAUACUUCGGGCGAAGGAAGUUUUUUGUUUGUAAAGAUGAUAUGGACUCAUAACAGGGAACUGGGAUUCAUUAAUCUGAGCAGAUUCAGGGAUAUAUGAGUAAUCAACAAGAUUUUCUAUUUUUGAGGCGACAUGUUUUUGACAAGAACGAGGUAAAGAAAGAGUAGAAGAGAGAGAAAUAGGAGAGGAUUUUGAUGAAGCUAUUUCUGAUGAAAAAGAGGAAGAUGCCAUUUUUUAUAGAGUUUCUUCUAGGUGUUGAAUAAUAAUACUUGAGAACUAAACCAUGAUACCACCUCUUGAAAAUGUUCGUUUGGCUCUGAUACCUCUUGAAAAUGCAUAAUAUUUACCACUUAGACUAGCUUAUCUAGAAGGUCCAAACAAAUCUAUGUGAAGUAAUUGAAGUGGUUUUGAAGUAGAAACAUGAUUCUUGUUUUUAAAAGAAGUUUUGAUUUGUUUUCCAAAUUGACAGGCUUUACAAAUUUUAUCUUUUUAAAAUCUGAUUUUUGGAAGACCUUUAACCAAAUCAUUUUUCAAAAUUUUUGAAAUCAAAUCCAUGCUUGCAUGACCUAGUAUUCUAUGUCAUAACUGACCAUUAUCCUGCAAUACGGAGAAACAUAUAUCAUUAGUAGAUGCACAAUCUAUAUCAAUAGUAUAAACAUUAACAUAUCUAUUUCCUACAAACAAAAUCUUACCAUCACAUGCAUUCUCAAUAAUACAUUUUGAUUUAUCAAAGAUAGCUUUAUAGCCUUUAUUGACUAAUGCUAAGUACGUUGUGUUUCAAGUUUUCAACCAAACACACAUUUUCAAUAAGACUAGAGGAUACAUUACUGACAUUGCCAACACUAAUGGUCUUUCCUUUUGAAUUAUCUCCAAAGGAUACAUUUCCACCAUUUUCGGUCUUGGUAAAGCUUGAAACAAAGAAUAAUUGCCUGUCAAAUGUCUUAAGCAUCUGUUGUCCAAGUACCAUUUGUUUUUCCUUUUCUUUGAUCCCUGCAGGAGAAAUCUUUAAGUUUUAGGUACCCAAAACUUUUUGGGUCCUUGAGUGUUAGCAAUGGUUCCUUUUGGAACCCAAAUACAUUUGAUUCCAUAAUAUGCAUUUCCCUUAACAAGGCAUCUAUAAUUCAUGUGACCAUUUCUAUUGUAAUAUUUACAAACAAUUUUAUUAUCACUAGUGGAGAUAGCCUAAACAAAGUAAUUUUUGUACUAUUUUUGUUUCAAGUUAGGCUUAUACCCAAGUCCUCCUUUAUCAAACACACAUUUUUGAGAGCUGAGCAAUUUUUCUAAGUUCUUUUGACCAUCUAUGAAUUUUAACACAAUCUCAUUAAGCUCAUUGCUCUUCUUCUUAAGCUCUUCAUUUUCUUUGAUCAAAUUAUCAACAUUUGAUUUUUCAUGCUCAUAUGAGGUACUUUAUUUACCUUUUAAAGAUACAAUCUUAUCAUACAAUAUUUCAUUAACUAAUUCUAGUUCUUUGAUCUUUUCAUUUAGUAAAUCAUUGUAUUUAUGCAAGGCAUCCUUUUCAUUUGAAAGUUCUAGCAUUUUCUUCUUAAGACAUGCAUUUUUCUUACAACCUUUCAUCAUAUCAUUAUGCAGCUCUUUAAAAGCAUCAUACAAUUUGAUGCGAAUCCCACAAUGAAACUUUGAAAUCCAUACUUAAUUUGAAGUUUCAACUUCCCAAGAAAGUUCUAAACAGAUUUUUGACAAACAAAACCUUGACACUCAAGAAAUAGAUGAGAAGGUGAGUGAUAAGUUCACUAAUUCUCAAAAGAACCAAAGGAAGAAUAAUCUUUCAAAUUCAAAUAACAUUAAUCUCUAAUUGUCUUACAUAGCAAGGUUACUGAGCUUAAAUAGACCAAUGAAAUCCAAGAUCCUAAAAAUACAAAUGAAAACAUUGGAACAACCCUCCAAGUAUAGGUUUGUCAAAGGAUGCUUUAAAAGUCUUCACCAACCCACCAUAAUUAAUGCUAUCAUUGACAAACUUAAUGCUAGCCUACCAUAAUUAAUGCUAUCAUUGACAAAUUUAAUGUUAGCCCACCAUCAUUGAUGGUAAACUUACCUUACACAUUGAAAAACUUAAAACAAAACAAACAAACAAAGUUGAAAAACAAAGGAGUCAUUGAAAAUCCCAAGUCUGAACAAGUUGUAAUGCAUGGUCAUAACUCCUUCUAGAGAACUCAAAAACUAGCUCUGUAAAAUGUAUUAGAAAGCUAACUUAAUUAUAUUUCCAACAGUAUAUAGGUUGCACAUUACUUCGGGCUCAAUCAAUGCGAGUUUUAUUCCAAAUUUGACCUUUCUGCAUUUGAUCCAAAUUUUGUAUUUGGCUGCCCAAUAGCUUGAAUAAUGUCCACAAUGCCUUGUCUUCUCUUCAAGCCCAAACUUGAAUUACAUUUUUAAUCCAUAUUUUCUCAAUUAAUCCAUUUAAAGCAGCUUGCUUAGCUCUUGUAAUUGGGCCUCCAUGAAUGUGAAAAUGAUCACUUGAAGCUUUAAUGAUAUUUUCCUUGAAUCUUCACCUACAUCAAAAGGAGAAAGAUCAGAAACGUUAAAACUAGCACUCACAUUAUACUCAUCAGGAAGAUCCAAUUUGUAGGUAUUGUCGUUAAUCCGUGCAACCACUCAAAAUGGACUGUCUCCUCUUGAAAGCAACUUGGAACGCCUUUGUGCUAGGAACCUCUCCUUUCUCAUAUGCACCCAAACCCAAUCUCCAGGUUGAAAAACCACUUGCUUAAGUCCUUUGUUGGCUUGAGUAGCAUAUUUUUUAGUUCUCUUUUCUCUGUGUUGUUGCGUUCUCUCAUGCAAUUGCUUGACAAAUUCAGCUUUCUUUUUACCAUCCAUACUAGAACACUCAUCAAUAGGUAAAAGGAGUUAAUGGAUUAAAACCAUAUACUGUCUCAAAUAGUGAAAAUUUAGUAGCUGAAUGGACAGUUCUAUUAUAAGCAAAUUCAACAUUGGCAUUCAUUCUUCCCAAGUUUUCAAGUUCUUUUGAAUAAUGGCACGCAACAAAGUGGAUAAAGUUCUAUUUACAACCUCAGUUUGUCCAUCAGUUCGUGGAUGACAAGUAGUAGAAAACAAAAGUUUAGUACCCAACUUACCCCACAAAGUUUUCCAAAAGUGGCUCAAGAACUUAGCAUCUCGAUCUGAAACUAUGCUCCUUGGUGCUCCAUGCAAUCUGACUAUUUUCUUGAAAAACAAAUUAGCUAUGUUUGUUGCAUCAUCUGUUUUGUGACAUCGAAUGAAGUGUGCCAUCUUUGAAAACCUAUCAACAACAACAAAAACAGAAUCCUUUCCCCUUUUUGACCUAGGUAAACCCAAAACAAAGUCCAUAGAAAUAUCAACCCAAGGUUCGCUAGGUAUUGGUAAAGGGUUAUACAAUCCAUGGGGUAAAACUCUAGACUUAGCAUGUUUACAAGUGAUACACUUCUCACAUAUUCUUUCAACAUCAUGUUUCAUAUGUGGCAAAAAAAAGUGUUCUUUUAAAACAUCUAAAGUCUUUGCAAUGCCAAAAUGUCCCAUUAAACCUCCCCCAUGGGCUUCACGCACAAGCAAUUCAUGCAAAGAACUAUGAGGCACACACAAUUUAUUCUCUCUAAAUAAGAACCCGUCAUGCCUAUAGAACUUUCCAAAUGCAACUUUCUCACAAGCAUUAAACACAUUAGCAAAAUCAGGAUCAUUAACAUAUAAUUCUUUAAUAUGCUCAAAUCCUAGCAACUUUGCAUUUAAUGUAAAGAUAAGUGCAUACCUUCUAGAUAAUGCAUCAGCCACUACAUUCUCUUUACCUUGUUUGUAUUUGGCAUGUCUCUUAUGCAACUUACCUUGCCCUUUCAAAUGCUUCAAGGACUCAUGAUCAGUGUGUAUAACAAACUCUUUAAGUAGAAGAUAGUGUUGCCAAGUCUCCAAUGCUCUCACCAAUGCAUACAUCUCCUUGUCAUAGGUAGGAUAGUUUAGGGUUGGUCCACUCAAUUUCUCACUAAGAUAGGUAAUCAGAUGCCCUUCUUGCAUCAAAACGGCUCCAAUACCUAUACCUGAAGCAUCACACUCAAUUUCAAAAGUUUUAACAAAAUCAAGUAAAGCAAGUAAUGGUGCAAAAACUAAUUUCUCCUUGAUUAGAUUAAAUGCCCUUUCUUGUUCACUACUCCACUUAAAUCCCACAUGUUUCUUCACAAUUUCAGUUAAUGGUGCAGCAAGGGUGCUAAAAUCUUUCACAAAUCUUCUAUAAAAACUAGCUAAACCAUGAAAACUUCUUACCUUACUUACACUUUUAGGUGUAGGCCACUCCUUAAUAGCCUUUACCUUCUCUUCAUCAACCUCAAUUCCUUUAGCACUUACAACAUAACUAAGAAAAACAAUAUGAUUUGUACAAAAUGAACACUUCUUUAAAUUAGCAUACAACGUUUCCUUCCUUAAAACAAUCAAUACACUUUGCAAAUGUUCAACGUGUUCUUCUUAACUUUUACUAUAGAUCAAAAUAUCAUCAAAAUAGACAACCAAAAACUUGGCAUCACUAACCAUUCAUAUAAACCAUAUUUUGUUUCAAGACAGUUCUCCACUCAUCUCCCUCUCUAAUCCUAAUUUGAUGAUAUCCACUUUUAAGAUCAAUUUUACUAAACACACAAGAACCAUGCAAUUCAUCAAGCAUGUCAUCAAGUCUAGGAAUAGGAUGUCAAUACUUUACAGUGAUUUUAUUAAUUGCACGACAGUCAACGCACAUCCUCCAUGUUCCAUCCUUUUUGGGCACUAGUAAAACUGGUACCGCACAUAGACUCAUGCUCUCCCUCACAUAUCCCUUUGCCAAGAGUUCUUCAACUUGCCUUUGAAGCUCCUUUGUCUCCUCAGGGUUGCUUCUAUAUACAUGUCUAUUAGGAAUGGUAGCUCCAAGUACAAAGUCUAUUUGAUGUACGAGGAAAUUCUUGUGGUAAAAUAUGGAAUCAUGAGUCCAACACAUCAAAGGUGAUAAAAAUCAGAAUGGACAACAGUUAUUUUCCAAAGAUCUUUGACUUCAAGAGUCCAACACAUCAAAGGUGAUAAAAAUCUUAUCCCUGAUUUCCUCACCCGACCAUCUAUAAAAAGCCCUGUUCUCAUCUCUUCCAUCCAAACCAUCCCAAUUAUAGCCAUGUAUCGAUCACUCCCUAGCUAGCAAACCCUGAAUUAGAUGAAGACAUCCUCAUCUACCAAGAAAUCCAAAGAGCAAAAAAGGAAUAUGAAAAAGAAACCGGUGGAGCAACUUUGAGACCAAAGGGUAGAACUAUCCACUGAUGAUGAGCAUCAGGGAUACAGAAGGCUGUUUUGGGACGGUCUUUUGGAGAAAUGCCAAGUUGCCAAAAACCAGCUUUAAGAUCGAACUUUGAAAAUACCUUUGCACCUUGAAGAUGAAUGAAUAGGGACUGGAUCUUUGGAAGACGAAAUUUGUCAUCUUUAAGGAAAGGGGUCCCGAAUUCAAUAAGAAAGAAGUAGAGAUCAGGUAGUUGAAAGUAGAAUUGGCCAGAAUUGAUGCUGACAAAGCACAAACUUCCCUUUUUACCAAAACACAGUCCAUACCUAUACCAGGAUCUUUUUUUCGUAAGAAUCUGUAAGGCUUCUUUUGUUUUUUGGAGGAGGAUUUGUGGAAAUGUUUCUGGAGUGAAUACAGACAACUUCAAUUGAUUCAAACUACCAUUCUGAUAGCUCUUGCAGUUAUUUAUGAACAGAUUAUUGGAGAACCAGCAACAACCACUAAAGCAUCUAGAAAAGAGUAUCACCAGAUGAAAUGUUGUUCUCUUAAACGACAUCACCUGGAAAUACAUUACAAAAGGAUGAGCAUGCUUUAUUACAAAUUCAAUGGAUUUAAUGAUCAGAAAGAUUUCCCUCUCUAUGUUUAGAACACUUGUUCCUCUCUGGUUUCACCAUUGUUCCCAGUCUCACCAUCUCUGAAGAUGAGUUAUGGUACAUGUGGUGUCUCAUAGUCCUGUUUGCUACAAAUUUUGUUCUUCUUGCUCGACCAACCCUCAGGCAUAUCUCCACACAUGAUGCACUGAUGAUCCUUGCAGACACAGAUACAAUUCCAACCAUCAUCUAGAUUCCCAAACAAAUUCAAAAGCAAGAGUUACUUCAACUCAUGCCCUUGGAAUGGCUUACAAACUAUGAACUCCUAAAGCAACCCCUGAACCUCCAAAGAAAGAUAAAGCCCCAGCUUAUCAAUACCAUUAUCAGCAGAUUGAUUCUCAACAAAAUGACUCAAAUUCCAGAUUCACUAGAUCUCUGCGAGAUUGAUUUGAAAGUCUAGGCGAAUACAAACAACUUCAAUUGAUUCAAACCACCAUUCCGAUAGCUCUUGCAAUUAUUUAUGAACAGUUUACUGGAGAACCAGCAGCAACCACUGAAGCAUCUAAAAAAGAGUAUCACUAGAUGAAAUGUUGUUCUCUUAAACGACAUCACCUGGAAAUGCAUUACAAAAGGCCUGGCUACACCAAUGUCCUUUUCCAAGACGCUCAAGACCCUUGGGCAGACUUUCAAUCCUUAUUACAAACCCAGGACAUUCAGUACACCGUGCCUGAACCAGGCUCUUCGUCUACUACAACUCAAGCUCAACGGCCAACAAGCCCUGAAUUAGAUGAAGACAUCCUCAUCUACCAAGAAAUCCAAAGAGCAAAAAAGGAAUAUGAAAAAGAAACCGGUGACGUGUCCCCAUCACCAGAUAGUGUAUCGAUUACAAAAUCAUGCGCUAGAUCUCCCAACUGCACAAACAACCAGUGAUGCACUGAUGAUCCUUGAAGGAGGUGACUGGGCUAUCUUUUUGAGCUGUCUUACAGCUUAUGUCUGGGCCGGACCCCAUGGUGGAGACGUCUUUUUGAGCAUGCAGGAGAGCUAACUAGGGACUUCAUUUGGAAACACGUCAUCAAAGUCCUACAAAAGAGUCACAAUAGCACUAGGCAAAGAAAAGUUAAUAAGCCUCUUUGCACAAAAGUACAAUGAUAGGAUGUUUUGAAAAGAAAGCCCUCUUAAUUUCGCUCUCUUUUGCAAACAAGCUCACUUUUUGUCUCUCUUUUCUCUCAACAAAAUUUUUUUCUAUCUUUUCACUUGCUUUUCUCUCAAUCUCUCUUUUUUUUUGUACUCAUUUUCUUUUUCUGUAUUGCUCUCUUUUUGUAUUGACAUUUGAUCCUCAUACACUUGUCUAGGUGUUAAAGGUACAAGAGUGAUUUUCUUGUCACACGCCUAUCAUAUUGCCAAGGUUGCCCCAAAAGAAUGUGUCCAGCAUGAAUGGGUAUUACAUCACAUAGAACCUCAUCCUUGUAUCUCCUAAUAGAGAAUGAAACCAGCACUUAUUUACUUACUUUAACCUCUCCACAAUCAUUCAGCCAUUGUAGCUUAUAUGGCCUAGGAUGUUUCAAGGUUUUCAAAUUCAAUUUUUCAACUAAACUAGUGCUAGCUACAUUAGUACAACCUUUGCAUUUUCAAAUUCAAUUUUUCAACUAAACUAGUGCUAGCAACAUUAGUACAACUUCCACCAUCAAUUAUCAUACUAUAUACCUUAUCCUUGAUGUGGCAUCCAGUAUGAAAGAUGUUAUCACAUUGUACCUUUGCAUCUUCUUUUACUUGCACGUUGAGAGCACGCCUAAACUAGUGCUAGCUACAUUAGUACAACUUCCACCAUCAAUUAUCAUACUAUAUACCUUAUCUUUGAUGUGGCAUCUAGUAUGAAAGAUGUUAUCACAUUGUACCUUUGCAUCUUCUUUUACUUGCACAUUGAGAGCACGCCUAGCAACCAUCAAUUUACCAUCAACAGGAUAAUCUACACCAUCAUUAGCAUCCUUGAAAGGUGGCAUAGGAUCAUCAUCUGAUUCACUCUCGGUUUCAACAUCACCAUCAUCCCUCAAGAUCAUUGCUCUCUUAUUUGGGCAUUGAGAUGCAAUAUGACCUGUCCACAAACAUUCAAAACACUUAAUAUCUCUAUUUCUAGAGUGUUGGGAAUCCGAUUUACCUUUGCUUUGGUUGCCUCCCUCUUUAUGAUCCUUGAAUGGUUCAAUCUUAGGCUUUGAAACAACCUUUUCAUCUUUGCUCCAUUUUGACUUCCAUGAGGAAGAUGAACCCAAAUUGGUUCUAGUGGAACCUUUCUUUUUUAGUUGCCAUUCCACUUUCAUGGCCAUGUGAACCAUGUCUUCAAACUCAACAGAGUGCUGCAAGUCAACCACAUUAGCAAUAUCUUGAUUUAAACCAUGUAAAAAUCUUGCCAUAGUGGCCUCUCGUUCUUCUUCAAUGUUGGCUCGAAUUAUGAUUAUUUCCAUCUCCUUGUGGUAAUCUUCCGCACUUCUAGAACCUUGUGUAAGACUUUGAAGCCUUUGGUGCAGCUCCCUAUAAUAAUGACUAGGAACAAUUCUCCUCCUCAUGAUGGCCUUCAUCUCCUUCCAAGUGUUUAUAGGCCUUUCACGAUUUCGUCUCCUACUCAAAACAAGUUGAUCCCACCAAAUAAUAGUAUAAUCAGUAAAUUCAAUAGCAGUUAGUUUUACCUUCUUCUCCUCAGAGUAGUUGUGGCAAUUAAAUACUAGUUCCACCUUAAAUAAGCUUCCGGAUCAUUUUCUCCCCAAGUCACGAUCUAUAUGUCUUACCCUUCUAUCAUCUCUUCCACGCAUGUCAACGGUGGUCUGGUCAUCAAAAUUAUCUAGGUCAUCGCCAUCUUCUUCUCCUAUGAUAGCACGUCCCUGAUUAUUUCUUACAUCAGGAGCUAUGGGUUGUUGCCUCCUUUGUAGAUUGGCAAUGGCAGUGUCUUGCCUCUCUAAUUUGUCACGGAUCUCUCCAAACAUUAAAUUCAUGUGCUCAAAUUGUUGUUGCAUGGCUUUGAGCAUGAUUGAUUGGUCUAUAGCUUCUUGAUCUUUGGACAUAUUUAUGAAAAGAAUGUUAGCAAAAAGACUUCACAACACUCCCUCACGUGUUUCACUCAAUUUGAUGUCAAUUACCUCUCAUGUUUAACACACAAAUUGGCUUUUACCCUCUAAUGAUCUGACAAACCUUUUUUUUAAUCACACUUAAUUCUCUCUUUCAAUUCUUUAUUGAACUAAAUAAACAAAAUCAAGAAAAACCCAGGUGGCACACUAAACAAAGAAAAGGAAUUAAACACAAAGAACAACAAAGGAAAUUAAUGAAAAGAAAAUGGUAUCAGACUUUCCUUUUCUUGGACAGAAACGCAAAAGAUGGGAUGACAUAUCCUAGUAUUAGAGCCUUAUCCGUCCUCGAAAAUCCCACGUUUUCUAAACUUCAGUUUUUCCUCACCAAAAUGGUAUGAUUUACGUCUUUCUUCUGUUUUGAUCUCUAGACCUUCAGGAGCAGAGAGCCUUUCUCAUUCAUGGCUUCCACUUCAUCUUCAACUCCUUCCAAUCCUGUUAAUCUUUCUUCUACUCUUUCUUUGCCAAAAUCCUGCACUUCUCAUACCGCCCAUAAGAUUGAAAACCUUGUAGAAUAUUCCUACAUCCCUGAAUCCGCCCAAAUCAGUGAGUCAUCCUACCCUCUCAUCAGCCCUUAUCAGUUGUACAAACGCCCCAGUUCCUUUACCCGAAGUAUCCGUACUCUCAUAUCUACUAGACGGCCUCAACCUAAAGAAUAUAUCCAGUCUUCUCGCCUGGAUCAAUGUGCUCUUCAAGCAACCUCUGCUGAGCAAUAUGUCACUCUGAAAAUCCCUUCAGAGUUAAUAUCCCAUUGGAAAAGAGAAUGUUACACUCAUCUCCAUCUUGGAGGCAUCAGAUUAAUCCUUACCCUUCAUGGGAGAAAAGGGUUACCGGUCACAGCUCGAAUUGCUAUGCUUGAUACCCGGUUUAAACAGUACUAAGAUGCUGUUAUAGGCACUGUCCUCACAACUCUUCAUGCAGGAAGUGUUUUACUCACCUUUUAUCCAAAUUUCAACCUUUCUCUCCAAGACACCAAUUUGCCCACAGCCUUGAAAGUUCAAGUUCAAAUUCAAGGUGCAUAACAAAUUUCUUCUGCCAAAAUAGCCAUCUUACACCAUCAACUGGUCUAUAGGCUUCAAAAUCAUGCCUUAGAUCUACCCACUCCAGAACACCACUCUGACACCCUCAUGGUGUUAGCAGAAUCUGACCAAAUUCCCACAAUCAUCCAGAUCCCACAACAACUUCCCCGUCAUGAGCUUAUCAAGCUUAUGCCUCUUGAAUGGAUCUCCAAUUAUGAGCAGUUCCAUAACAAUACAGCUCCAAUUCAGACAUCUGAAAGAUGGAACAGUCCAAAUGACUUUUAAACCACCUCCAAGUGCUCCACAAGAGCCCCCUCGGCUCUCUUUUACCUAUUCUUCAAUGAUCACAGCUAUUCAAACAGCUCAGGAAGAUCUGCCCAUUACAAGGUUCAAUUCUGACGGAUACCCUAUUUAUCCAGCAAAACAAAAUGGACAUUUCCUAUGGGAUGUCCCAGGCUCCGGCAUGUGUGACCCAAAUUGUCCCUGUUGGGAUGAUUGGGAAGAGGACGAUGAUUAUGCCACCAAAAAGAGACCCAAAAAGAAAAAACUUCCAGUCUCAUGUCAACACUGUGAACCCAAAUCACCAAGAGAUCCUCCACCUCCACCAGCUCCGUUACCCAUUUACUAAACAGAACUCAAAUGGAUUGCAAGGCAUUGCAAACCUGAGAUUCCAUCCCCCAUCCCAAACUCAACACCGAUCGUACAACCAAUAGCUUGUAUGAUGUUUUCUUCUACCUCUUCAGACUACUCUUCCUCCUUUCCUCCAUUAGAAACUCACACAGAUUCCCAACUAAAUGUGGUAUCCAAACCUUUUAUCCCUUCAGCUAUUACCUCAACUGGCCACCUAGAACCUCCCAAACCUUUUGAAUCAGUCCUUAAAUGGCAAACCCAAAAUGCCAGAGCACAUAAUGAUACUUUGUUACAUAUCAAUUCAAAAGUUGAGAAAAUCAGUUUACGAACUGAAUAGAUUGAGACGAAAGUUGACUCCAUUAUUGCACAGAUGUAGCAGAUCCACCACAAUUACUGGAAUGGGCCUUUGGAACUUGGAGGGCAAGAUCUGGAGUUUGAUGGAUGGCAUAGGGACAGUAGUGUCAAUGGACAGUAACUGUUGGUGGAAAAUGACUUGGGACUGAUCACUGUCUGAAUCAUCAGAGGAAUUUUACAGUGCGAACACAGUUUCAUCAGUGGGUUCAUCUUGUUCAGAGAAAUAGAAUUCUAGUUCAUCCUUCUCGGGAGAGUAGUCUAUAGUGGCUUGAAGAUGCUUAACUAGCCGAAUAGAUUUUUCCCUUUUGUUGGGACAAUCUUUGGCAAAAUGACCUUUUCUUUUGCAGAUGAAACAUCUGCUUGAUUUUCUUCGUUUAAAGUCUUUGGAAGAAGAUGACGAUGACUUCUUUCUGAAGAAUCUGUAAGGCUUUCGGGAUCUGCAAGGCCUGGAUGAAAAUUCUGGAUUUUUUGAAUUUCUGAAAAUGCCUUUUCUUCUUAGAACUGCAAUCACAAUCCUUUUUCUUCUGACAUUUGAUCUGCAAGUAAGGCUUUUUGCAAGUACUCCAGAAUGGUUCUUUAUCUUUCAACAGUUCUUUGAAAAACUGUUUCUGUUCGCAAAGUUUGUCAAGACAAGUUUUGGCAAGUUGGAAGAUUUUGCCAAGAGAGAUGUUGUCAAGGGCAAGAUUGGAUGCGGUGAGUUGUCUCUGUAUGUCUGGUUGGAGUUCAUCAAGGAGGGAAGCUAGAAAGACAUGCUUUAAUGUCGGCUCAUUGAAUCCAUUAAGCUUAUAGAACAGCAGGGACAUUCGUUUAUAAUGGAAGUCAAGAUCCUUAGCAUUGAGUGAACAGCAUUUCAUAUUGAGAUAGUCUCGGCGUGUAGCUUCAAAAACUGCAGAAGGGUCUCCAAGGAAUUGAUCACUGGUGGAUGCUGAAGAUUUUGUGUCAGGUUCGGUAUGGCUAUCAGAAACAGCUAGAUUGGAAUCAGAAGUUUGGUCAUCUGUAGUAAGUGAAUGGUCGGCUGUGUGGGCAUUAAACUGGUGCAUGGGUUCUUUAUCCUUGGAUUGAGGAGGAGGUUGGGAUAAAGGAGUUGGUGGAGGUGCUGGUGGUGAUGCCAGUGUAUAACCAGGGGAUUGUUGGCCAGGGAUGGAAAUGGAUGAGUGAUGAAUUGUGAUGGGUCGCGGUUGUGGUUUAGGCUUUGGUGUAAGUUUAGGUGGUGGUGGCAAUGGAUUGUCUCGGAAAAGAGUAUGAGUCAUGCCAAAUAACUUGGAGGGAUCAUACUGCUUGAUGGGGGAAAGCAUAGAGGCAAAUGGAUGAUAAGUUGGGCCGAUGGAAGGGAUAGAAGGUGAUGUGGUAAAAAGGGUAGGUCUUUGUUUUUCAGAUUCAAUAUGAUCAAGUUCAGCUUUUAAGCGUCUGAUUUCCCUUUCCUUUUGGUCAAAUUCUGGGCCAUAAUAACGUUGGGCAAGCAUAGUUCGUAACUCAGAGUCGAGUUGGGUAAUUCUGGACUGGAGAUUUUGGUGGAUCUGCUACAUCUGUGCAGUGAUGGAGUCGACUUUUGUUUCAAGUUGUUCAGUUCGUAAACUGAUUUUUUUCAACUUUGGAAUUGAUAUUUAACAAAGUAUCAUUCUGUGCUCUGGCAUUUUGGGUUUGCCAGUUGAGGACUAAUUCAAAAGGUUUAGGUGGUUCAAGAUGACCAGUGGAGGUUAUAGCUGAAGGGAUAAAGGGUUGGACACAACAUUGCGCUGGGAGUCGGUGUGGGUUUCUAAAGGAGGAAAAGAAGAGGAGUAGUUUGAAGAAGUAGAGGAAAACAUCAUACAAGCCAGUGGUUGGACAAUAGGCGGUGAAUUUGGGAUAGGAGAUGGAACCUUAGGUUUGCAAUGCUUUGCAAUCCAUUGGAGUUCUGCUUUGUAGAUGGGUAAUGGGGCUGGUGGACGUAGAGGAUCUUGUGGUGGUUUGGGAUUAGAGUGAUGACAUGAGACUGGAGGUUUUUUCUUUUUGGGUGUCUUUUUCCUUGAGGUUGCAUAAUCAUCGUCUUUGUCCCAAUCAUCUCAGCAAGGACAAUUUGGGUAACACAUGCUGGAGCCAGGGGCAUCCCAUAGGAAAUGGCCAUUUUGCUUGGCUGGAUAAACAUGGUAGCCGUCAGAAUUGAACCUUGUAAUGGGCAGAUCUUCCUGGGCUGUCUGAACAGCUGUGAUCAUUGAAGAAUAUGUAAUGGAGAGCCGAUGAGGCUCUUGUGGAGCACUUGGAGGUGGUUUAAAAGUCAUUCUGACUGUGCCAUCUUGUCGUCUUUCAAACAUGCUUUCAGAUAUCUGAAUUAGAGCGGUAUUGUUAUGGAACUGUUCAUAGUUGGAGAUCCAUUCAAGAGGCAUAAGUUUGAUGAGCUCAUGACGGGGGAUUUGUCAUGGGAUCUGGAUGAUUGUGGGAAUUUGGUCAGAUUCUGCUAACACCAUGAGGGUGUCAGAGUGGUGUUCUGGAGUGGGUAGAUCUAAGGCAUGAUUUUGAAGCCUAUAGACCAGUUGAUGAUAGAGAGUGGUAAUUUUGGCAAAGGAAAUUUGUUCUGCACCUUGAAUUUGAACUUGAACUUUCAAGGUUGUGGGCAAGUUGGGAUCUUGAAGAGAAAGGUUGAAGUUUGGAUAGAAAGUGAGUAAAACACUUCCUGCAUGGAGGGUUGUAAGGAGAGUGCCUAUAACAGCAUCUUGGUAUCGUUUAAACCGGGUAUCAAGCAUAGCAAUGCGAGCCAUGACCGGUAACCCUUUUCUCCCAUGAAGGGUAAGGAUUAAUCGGAUGCCUCCAAGAUGGAGAUGGGUAUAACCUUCUCUUUUCCAAUUAGAAAGCAAUUAGGAGGGUAUUUCCAAAGUGACAUAUUGCUCAGCAGAGGUUGCUUGGAGAGCACAUUGGUCUAGGCGAGAUGACUGGAUAUAUUCUUUAGGGUGUGGCCGUCUGGUAGAGAUCAGGGUACGAAUACUACGGGUAAAGGAACUGGGGCGUUUAUAUAACUGGUAAGGGCUGAUGAGAGGGUAGGAGGACUCACUGAUUUGGGCUGAUUCAGGGAUGUAGGAAUAUUCUACAAGGUUUUCAAUCUUAUUGGUGGUAUGAGAAGUGCAAGAUUUGGGCAAAGAAAGGGUAGAAGAAAGAGUAACAGGAUUGGAAGAAGUUGAAGAUGAAGUGGAAGCCAUGAAUAAGAAAAUCUCUCUUUACUCCUGAAGCACUAGAAAUCAAAGGAGAACAAAGAAUUAAAUCAUACCAUUUUGGUCAUGAAAAACUGAGUUUUAGAAAACAAAAGUUCAGGGACGAGUAUGCCAAAAAGAAAGGGAAAUCAGACGCUUAAAAGCUGAGCUUGCUCAGAUUGAAUCUGACAAACAAAGACCUUCCCUUUUU
RNAcentral lists this long non-coding RNA (46376 nucleotides) under Citrus x clementina. Lineage: Eukaryota; Viridiplantae; Streptophyta; Magnoliopsida; Sapindales; Rutaceae. The record is from RNAcentral.